UUGAAGAGAAAGGCAUCUGCCGGAGGGAUAAACCGAAGCAUGUCACCUGCUAUGUAUUUCAAGUUGUCGGCCUCAGGCAGGUUAGCAACAGCAUGCGGGAGGUCGAGUACAGUGCAUUUGAUGCCGGGGAAUGCUUCGGAGAUGAUUCUGGAAAACGAUCCGUUGCCACCUCCUACGUCAACCAAUGAGCCCAACCCUUCAAAGAUUUGCUUACACUCGGAUUUGACAACAAAGCUUGUCAUUAUUUCAGAAUCACUGGCCAUUGCUUCAUUGAACCGCUGGUUUAUUGCGGGGUUUUGAUUCAUAAAUUCCCAGAACUUGAUUCCAUGAACAGUUUCCCACAACGUGAGCUCAGUCCCUUUGAACCAACUACUUAAAGACUGAAAUGGAGCGACAAAAAAUGGGUCAACAAAUACUGAAACAGUUGGUGACAAAACAGUAGGGCUUAUCUUGUAUGAGCAGAGUAGAAGCAGCUGUGAGCCCGUAUGCUUCUUCUUGCCCAUUGACUUUGGUUUUUUUAAAGCAGCCCGAGUGAACUAACAAGCGCAUGAGCCUGAAUAAACCAGUCGUUUUUGUAGGCUGAAUAUCAAGCGCCGAGACCAACUCAGAAAGAGUGAUGGCCCGUCCGUGGCUGUGAAUUAUAUCCGCUAUGCCUAGCUUGGCCUUGAGCUAUAUCGCGCACUUUAGUGACAUCGAGCUUCAAUGAUUAAACAUGAGCUUAUAAAGUUGAGCUUGGCCUUGAAACAACUCUAUUGCUCCUUGAUCUUGAUUCGCAUCCAUUGAUACUGAUGAUCAACUAAAUUAAGCUUGCCUGAUUGAUCACCCACUCAGGGCCGGCUUUAAAGUAUAUGGGGCCUUAGGCAAAAAUUUUUUGUGGGGCCUUUUUUUAUUUUACAAUUUUAAUACUCGAAGAAAUAUAAAAGACUAAAAAAUUCAUUUGGCUUUUAACUCUUAAAUUUUAAUAGUAAUAAAAAAAAUCUUAAAAAUUUUCAAAAACCAAACCUAAAAAAAUAACCAAGAAGAUAUCUUUUUUACUUCCAUUAAAAUUAUUACAAAAAUAAACAAACAAAUAAAUAAAAACAAUAUUAUUUUCAAAUAGAAUAUUUAGAAUAGCAGAAAGUUGAGAUAAUUAAUUGAUUAUGAAAUAAUAGAUAUGCACUUUAUAUUUUAAGAAACUAAUUUUUCUUUUUUUCAUGAAUUAAUGAAUGUAAUAAUUCUCUUUGUAAAAAAAAAAGAGAGCAAGAAAUCUAUUUAUUUAUUGAUUUUUAUAUUAGAUUACAAGGUUUUAAUGGAAAUUCAAAGGAAUAUUAAAAGUCAAAGAAUUUAAUUUUUUUAGGAAACUUAAAAGGUCAAAAAUUAAAUUUUUUUUAUAGAAAAACUAAUAAUGAAUGAAUUAAUAGCUAAACAAUUUUAUUAAUUAUAUCUUUUGAACAUUAAGGUUGCCAAAUAUUGAUUUUCUAUAAAAAAAAAUAAUAUUUCUUAGUUGUGGUAUAAUUGUUAAUUAUAAAGAUGUCUAAUAGGCUUCUCUACAAUACAUAAUUUUUUUAAAAAAAUGAUCUUUAUUAAUUAAAGAACUAUUAAGAAAUACAAAAAAAAAAUGAGGCCUUAAAAAAAUAUAGGGCCUUAGGCAAUCGCCUUGUUCGCUUAUACUUAAAGCCACCCCUGCACCCACUAUAAUAGAGAAGCACAUUAUAUAAAAUCACGCUUGCUCGCAAAUGUGGACUAACUGUAUGCAAGCAUUUUGACUCCUCAUAUGAAUAGUUGCAAAUGCGAUUAGUUAUAAUCUAACAAGUUACAAUCUAACAACAUUGUUAACUUUGAUUUCGUAAUGACGCAUGCCCAUGAGAAAAGGAUAGUAAGAUAUAUUUACUGAUCAAUGAUUCAAUUAUUAUAACACCGUGAUUGGCAGGGUGUGAUAUAUAUUCAGGCACAUUUUAUAUAUUCAAUGUGCUGGUCUGUUUAUCAAAUUUUUAAGACAUUCAUUUGAGUCAAAAUAAUUGCACUCGGAGUACGGAGGUAGAGUUUUCAAUUAAUUUUAUUUUGUUGGCUAUUCAAAUUUAAAUUUGACAAAAGUUAGAGAGCUAAAAGAUUAAUUUGAAAUCAUUUAUCUCUCUAUCUUUUAAAAAAUAAAAUUCGAAAAGGUGGCAGAGAUUUUUCACAUCAAUAUUUUACCAUUUAUUCAUCGGUUGGCUGACAAUACCAAUGUAUAAGAAAAAAAAAAGAUGGUAUAAAAAAUAGUAUGCAAUCACUAUAAAAAAUAAAAAAUUUCAUUACAAGAAAAGAAUUCACCACUACACAAGAAUUUUUUAAUUUUUUUUAUGCUUUUGUAUUAAAAUUUGUGCUAUUUUAAAUACAUGCAGCGUUAUUCAUUCACUAAACGCAUAUAAAAUUUCCAAAUUAACCAUCUUUAUUAAAAAUUAUCUCCAAAUUCUUUCUACUGCCAACACUUAGCCAGCACUGUUCUUAUUGCAAACUAUAGUUUAUCUUUUGACAGUUUCAAAAAGAUAAGAAAAGAUAAGAAAUUUAUAGCUUGUGCCCACCAAAAUCUCUUAUUCCAUGGAGUUGUUGAAAUUUUGACUUGAAUAGAAAAGAUAAAGUUAGGUUUUGAAAGCAGGAAAAGGUUUAAAAAUCUUGUUCAUGCAAUUUGUGAUGCUGAAAAUUGAAGAUGGCAACAAAUUACACAUGCAAUUGUUGACAAAUAUGCAUGACUUUAAUGCAUGCAAUGCAAGUUCCAGCUCAACGUUUUGGUCAAUUGAACCCAACUUGGUGCAAAAUGUUCUCUAUAAAUAGAGAAGCAUUUUGCAAUUGUAAGCAUCCCAAUUUAAGAGAAGUAGAGAGUAAUUGCAAGUGAAGCGAUUUUAGAGAUUUGAGAGAGUUUCCACUUGAGUGUUCUAGUGAGUUUCCAUUUGAGUGUAUUGGGGUUUGGGGUGUUGAGAGUUUCUCCCACUUUUGUAAAUUCUCAUCAUUAGUAGAAUUAUCUUCCAGUAUUUGCCCAUAGACGUAGGCCUUACGCCGAACCACGUAAAUUAUUGUGUCAUAUUUUCUUUAUAUUUGUUUACGCCACAUUUAUAUUUCUCCAGAAGUUGCAGCUACCAGAAUAUUAGUAAUUGCUCAACCUCACAUUUCCGCUGCAGGAGUUAAUAUUGAACACGAAGAAUUUUUCAUUAAAUUUUGUGCUAUUUUAUAUACAUGCAGCCUUUUUCGUUCACUAAACGUAUAUGAAAAUUUCCAAAUUAGGCAUCUUCAUUAAAAUUUAUGUAUGAGUUCUUUCUACCGACAAAACUCAACCUACAUUGUUCUUGUUGCAAACUAUAGUCUAUCUUUUGAUAGCUUCAAAAAGAUAAGUGUUGAUAUCCGUACAUAUUCAACAUACAGUUAAUAGGAUAUCUGUAACAUAUGUAGAAAUUAAAAAUGAAAAUGAGGCGGUUAAGGAUUUUAUAAGUAAAAGGAAAGAGUUGGAAACAGGUUAAACACAUGCACGUGUGAGAGAGUGAAGGGAAGCUGCAAAACCGACCCAACUACAAACCCGAAAACCCGACCCGAAACCCGCGACCUUGACCCGGUCGUAACUUCCAUUUCCAGCCACCGUUCCAGUCAAGUUUGGUACCAAUCUGAAGAUUGAAGACCGUCCAUCAUACCCAUGCCGUCCACGUCGCCGAAAAACAACCAGAAUGCCAGCGACCAAAGCUUGAAAACCCGUGACUUUUCCACUUUGCUCCGCCGGGACUUUUGCCGAUUUUGGAUGACACCACUGGUUAGAUUUUGUUCCCCACGACUCCCUCUUCCAUUUCCGACCAUCCACAGUCACUGGGAGUCAUUGUUUCGCCGCCGACCAAUUGUUGGAAAUUCACGGCUGUUGAGCUAGAUUCCGGCAUUGUUGCCGCGCAUUGGAGCUCACCGCCGGUGCCAUUGAACUCAGCUUGGCCAAAAGUGUCUAACCCAUGCUUCCCGGCCAGUGUUGACCAAAUUUUGGUGACCGUUGACCGGCAAGGGCAUUUCGGUAAUUUCACACUCCGAGGAAAAUUUUGUAAUUUCUGAGCCCGUAGAUAUUUUAGUAAUUCCUAGAAUUGAGGAUUGGGUGUAAUUAUGAUUCUAAGGGUAAUUCAAUGAUUUACGAUUUUGGAAUAUUUUAAUGAUUUACGGAUUCGAGGGCAUUUUAGUAAUUUUAUCGACACGGGAGUUGUAAAUUAUGGAUAGAUGUUUGUUUCGAGUGUAUUGCAUAAAUUUAGUCAUAACUCCGAUUUAAGGAAAAUAAUUAAUUUUGUCGUUUCCUUGAUUUAGGAGGAUCCGCGAGUAAGAACCGGUUCGUGGAUGUGGACGAUAACCGAGCGUGAACAUCGUCACUGUGAGUGGAAUAUACAAAACUUAUUUUCAUAGCUAAUUAUAAUAGUAAAGCAUGUUUGCAAAAUAAGUAGUUUAAAUGUUCUGAUUUAAUAAUUAGUUUAAAUGUUCUGAUUUAAUAAUUAGUUUAAAUGUUCUGAUUUAAUAAUUUCCUCGAAAUAGAUUUUAUUCACGCAUUGGUAUUUUAUUAAAAUAUUUGGUUAAUGAUUUUGCGUAUCAACUUUCAAUAAGCAUGAUAAUAAUUUAAAGAUAAGAAAAGUGGAUUUAAUUGUGGUAUGAUUUAAAAUAUGGUUAAAAGGUAUGUGAAUAUGAGUAUAGAGAUUGUUUUUAAAUUAUUAGACAAUAUCCUUCCCUCCAGAUACAGUGAUACAGAUGAGAUGAGAUGAGAUGAAAGGCCUUUGGGGCCUGUCUAAACAACAUAGAGGCUUUGGGCCAUGUGUUUGGGCGCUCUUGCAUUUUGGGGGCAUAUGUAUGCGGUAUAAUGAUUACAGAGAUACAGCUAUGAGACAAAGACAAAUAUUGAGAUACAAAUGAUACAGAUGAGAUACAAGUCUUUGGGGCCCAUCUGAGUACACACAAAGGCUUUGGGCCGUGUGCUUGGGCACUUUUGUCCUUUGGGGACUAGAUUAUGCAUGCACAUAUAUGAUGAGAUAUGAUGAGAUAUGAGAUGGUAUUUCCAUGUCUAUCCGUGUAGCUCCAGGGCGUGACGGUACCCAAAUAGUACGUCAUUGCCCGUCCGUUGAGGUCCGGAUAUGACGAGAUUAUUUCCCUGGGUAUUUGUUUGGUGAUGAUUUUCAGAUUUGUAUAUUCUAUAUGAUAUUGUGAUAUGAUUUCCAUGGUUAUUUAGUACGAUAAUAUAUAUGAUUUUCAUGGUUAGUAAUCUGGUAUAAAUGUUAAAUGAUUUACUAUUGGUUUCUUACAUAUGGUUUGAUGAAAUCGUGUUAGGAAAUAAUAUGAUUAUUUCUUUUAAAGUAAGAAUUAAUUUUCAAAAACUACUAUCCACUCACUGAUCUCAUUGAGUUUUAAACUCACCUCGUUUUUAUUAUAUUUCCCCCUCCCCCCACCAGGAGGUUGCAGGUACACCAGACCAACCCAUCGAUUGUAAAUAUAUUUUGAGUCUUGGCCACAUGAUGGUGUUAGAAUAUAUAGAUAUUUUUGUUAGGACAUCUUGGUUAUCUCGUCCUGUUGGGAUUGUAUAAUUUUGUUAUAUUAUUCUUUUGGGAUUAAGAAUAAACUAAGAUAUUAAUAUUAGUUAUAAUAUUAUCUUUUGAGACCCUAGAGAUAUAAAACUCAGCAUUUUGGUUGAGGAUGUUGAUCACUGGAGUUUGUUGUAUAUUGAAUUAUAUUGGGAGUGCUUGUCUUACAUAUUUGUAGAUUGGGAGUGUUAUAUAUAUAAAGGAAACUUUGCCGAUGUUUUGGAAAAAUCCUCACUAAUUAGAUUAUUAUCAAUCUAGUUUGGAUGAGGUUAGAUUGACUCGCCCGGGGGGAUUCGGGGCGGGUCGUUUCAAUAUCCAAAAGCAUACAUUUUGAUCCUUGAAUGCAGAAGCAUAUCACAAUAAGUUAUAUCACUGUCAAGUUGAUUAGAGACAAGGAUAAUCUCAAAGAAAACCAUCACGCUACUGUAUGUUUAUGUCGGAGGAUAAUUAUAAUAAAAGAAAAUCCCCUCAUAUCACAUUGCCAGAGCCCACUGCCAUUUUCUCUCGUUUUCAAUCCUUGUGUUUUCUAAUAUCUUCUUCAUAUUUUUCAUAUCUAUCACACCCUUAUCACAUGACACGGCUUGCCCCGACUUAUAUGUCAGAUCCGAGGCGAAUCAUACGAUCUAAUAACUAAAACUCGUGGCACAAAUUUAAUUCAUGAAUAUAUAAAAAUGGUCUCCACUAUAAACACAUAACAACCUCUAUACCUCAUCCAAAAAUAUAUAUUCAAAACUUGCACAGUUCAUAUCUCACUAUAUAUACUUACCCUACAAAUAUAUAUACAUAAGAACAUAAGUAAUAUAAACAUGCUCAAAAUGCAAGUCAUGAGGCAAUACAUCUCGUGGCCCAACUUUAAUUGACUAGAAUUGAUCAGCACAAAAUCUUGCGAAAUCCUGGCAAAAAAGGGAUAAAUAGGAAAAUAAUGAGCUUGCAGCCAUAUAUAAUAAUAAUAAUAAUAAUAAUAAUAAUAAUAAUAAUAAUAAUAAUAAAGUAAUGCAUCUGUAAACAUGGGAAAUAAUACAUACAUGACAAAACUGUACCAAAUAAUACCCAGGGAAAUAACUCUCAAUACUUACUGGGAUCAUCAUCGCAUGAGUAGAGCUGGGCAAAAACCUCUCAAUACCCGAUGGAAUUUAACUACAUCGUAUGGGUAGAGUAGCCUAACUCUCAAUAUGCAUGCACAGAGUUUAUAGGGAAAGACACAUAUAUGGUGAUUGGCAAUCACAUUUUAUGACUUAAUCAAACAUAUAAUAUUUGUACAUGUAAUCAUAACAUUAUAUUAAAUCAUACUACCAAACAUAAAUGCUUCAUGGAAUACAUAAUUGUAAUAAUAGUAUCCCUACAAAGCUUAUUUCACUAAGGGUUCAUUGGGGCUCCUGUGGGCUCUUAGAUUCUUGAAUUUCUCCUAAAAUACAUGAUUCAAAAUUAAUUGUUAGAACUAAUAUAAAAACUUAUACGUAUAAGGCAAAUUAAAUCAUAACUACUUAAAUUUCAUAAAUCUAUUACCCACUAACUUAUUUAAUGUAAAUCUAACUAUCUAAUUCUAUUUCCCCUAAUAUUUUUUCUCCUUUUCCUUUCUUUUUCUCUUUUCCCACAUUCGGCUUCUUUCUUAUUUUCUUUUUCUUCUCUUUUCUCUUUUCCACUUUCUUAUUUCUCUUCCAUUUUCCUUUGUUUGCUCUCGGUUCUCAAAUUUGGUAUAUGAAGCAACUGUUAAAUUUUUUUGCAUUUUAUAUAGCCACCGAACGACCAUUAAAUGUAAGCAAGCAGCUCUCAAUUUUUAAAUAUAUAUAAGCAUAGCUUGAAGAAAUCAAGCAUAUAGCUGGCUGCUUCUGAAUCAUUACACGUGUGCAGAAUCAUACACAUCUAUUUUAGAUACAAUAGGUAUGUUUAUAUGGGAGCUAAUAAGAGUGAUUGAGGUCAAUCAAAAGACUUCAUAACUCUCAAAGUCUAAUUGGACUUGGAAUUGUCAGAUGUCUAUUCUUUCUGAUAUGGUAGAACAAACUUUAGAAGUCUUCAUGGAUGACUUUUCAGUUUUUGAAGAGACAUAUAAUGAUUGUUUACACAACUUGAAAGAAGUUCUUAAAAGACGUGAGAUGACUAACUUAGUACUCAAUUGGGAAAAAUGUCAUUUCAUGGUGCAAGAGGGCAUAAUGUUGGGUCAUAAGGUGUCCAAGAAUGGCAUUGGUAGACAAAGCCAAGAUAGAAGUAAUAGAUAAACCACCUCCUACUUCAAUUAAGGGUAUUAGGAGUUUUUUGGGUCAUGUUGGAUUUUACAGAAGAUUCAUUAAGGAUUUUUCCAAGGUAGCUAAACCAUUAUGCUCAUUGCUGGAACAUGACAAGCCCUUUCACUUUUAUAAAGACUGUCUUCAAGCCUUUGGAGAAUUAAAGAAAUCUUUGAUCACUGCACCAGUGGUUAUAUCACCAGAUUGGACUCUACCAUCUGAACUGAUGUGUGAUGCCAGUGACCAUUCUGUUGGAGCAGUAUUAGGGUAGAGAAAUGAUAAGAUUUUUCACUCCAUAUACUAUGCAAGCAAAACUCUUACUCAAACUCAAAUUAAUUACACCACUACAGAGAAAGAGUUACUAGCAGUAGUAUUUGCUUUUGAUAAAUUCAGAGCUUACUUGGUGAGUACUAAAGUGACUGUAUACACAGAUCAUGCAGCCAUCAAGUACUUAAUUUCAAAGAAGUAUGCCAAACCAAGAUUAAUCAGAUGGAUCUUAUUGCCUUAGGAGUUUGAUCUCGAAAUUAAAGAUAGAAAGGGGACUGAGAAUCAAGUAGCAGACCACCUGUCAAGGCUGGAAGCAGACACAAGUACAUUGACAAGAAAGGACAUCACUGAAACUUUUCCUGAUGAUAGCUGUUAGUAGUACAGCAAGCAGAUGCUGCAGCACUCAGGAUCUUCAUGGUAUGCAGAUUUUGCUAAAUACUUAGUAAGUGAGUUGCUACCACCUGAGUUGAUGUUUCAAGAGAAAAGAAAAUUUCUUCAUGAUGUUAGAAGCUACUAGUGGGAUGAACCAUAUUUAUAUAAGUUAUGUUCGGAUCAAGUAAUACGAAGAUGUGCUUUAGAGGGAGAGAUUCCCCACAUACUGGAGUCAUGCCAUGCUGCAGCAUAUGGAGGACAUUUUGGUGGUCACAGAACAGCUGCUAAAGUUCUGUAAUCAGGUUAUUACUGGCCUUCUAUUUUUAAAUAUGCUUAUGAAUUUGCUAAAUAUUGUGACAGGUGUCAAAGGACAGGGAACAUAACUAAAAGACAUGAAAUGUCAUUGACAAACUUUCUGGAAGUGGAAGUUUUUGAUGUAUAGGGAAUAGAUUUCAUAGGACCUUUUCCACUAUCCUUUGGGAACUUAUAUAUCAUUGUUGCUGUGGAUUAUGUCUCUAAGUAGGUAGAAGCUGCAACAUUACCUACCAAUGAUGCUAAAACAGUAGUGGCCUUUCUUCAGAAAAUUUUUUUUUUCAGGUUUGGCACUCCUAGAGCAAUUAUUAGCGAUGAAGGUACUCAUUUUUCCAACAAAGUAUUUGUUGCAGCUAUUGUAAAAUAUGGAGUCAGGCAUAAAGUAGCAAUAGCAUAUCACCCACAAUCUAAUGGUCAUGCAGAAGUGUCCAAUAGAGAAAUUAAGAAGAUCUUAGAAAAAGUGGUGAACCCAUCAAGAAAGGAUUGGUCCUUGAGGUUACAUGACUCCCUAUGGGCCUACAGAAUAGCAUACAAAACACCACUUGGCAUGUCUCCCUACCAAAUUGUUUAUGGGAAGGCUUGUCACUUGCCACUUGAGCUAGAGCAUAAAGUACAUUGGGCACUGAAGCAAUUAAAUUGGGAUAUACAUGCUGCAGUAGAGCAAAGGAAGCUUCAACUUUGUGAGCUUGAUGAAUUACGUCUAUUCUCAUAUGAAAAUACAAGAAUCUAUAAAGAGAUGACAAAACACUGGCACGACAAGCAUAUCCAAACUAGGAAAUUUAGCCCUGGUCAACUAGUGAUGCGCCAUAAUACAAGACUAAGAUUAUUUCUAGGAAAACUAAAAUCUCGAUGGUCUGGACCUUUUAAGCUGCUCAGAAUUUAUCCUCAUAGGGCUGUUGAUCUUCUAGAUGAACAAACAGGUCAAGAAUUUAAAGUUAAUGGACACAGGGUUAAGCAUUACAUACAGCCAGUGGCAGAUUGUUCAAAGGAGGUCUUACUCCUUAAAGAACCAAGUUAUUGAGCAAUCAAAGAAGGUUAGAAUGAAGGACCUUAAAUCAAGCGCUCAAUGAGAGGCAACCCAUUGUAGAGGCAGCCACUUCAAACUGAGCUUGAUCCUCUCUGGUUUUGUUGAAGGCUCAUCCUUUUAUUUUAUUUUAAUUUUGUUAUUCACUUCUGGCUAUUUAUUUUUAUCCUUUCGCAUUGUUGAACUCUUUACUUCUGUUAUCAUUCUAUAUCUUUAUUUUUAAUUUUUUAGAAUUGGCUUUAGUUAAUGUUAAAAAGUUUUUAAGGGAAGUAUGUGUGACAAAUGAAUUCCAUAUUGACAAUUGGGGUUGUAUUGUGACAGAGUACAGAGGCAAGCCACGUGUCAAAAGCUAUUGGAGUAGCAUAUGUAACCAUUGCUCGAGCAAACAAUUGGGUACUGCAGCGGCCAAUAUUACCGUUACAGUAAUUUAAAAUUGGAGCCUCUCACUUACCGUUGGAGAUAAAUCAUGACAAAUGGAUGCAUGGAUUUGGAUAGCAAUUGAGGAAGCAAAAAUCUCCGAAAUUAAUGCAUUAAUUUCUCUUGCCUAUUUUUAUGGGAUAUACUCAAUGAAUUCAAAAUAUUUUCUUCCCUAAUUUAUCUUUCUUUACCGAAUUUAUCUUCAAUUAAAUUCCACUAUAAAAGGGAAUUACUGUGCGUAGUGACCUACGACACUAUUUCCCCUCUCCCUCGCAAGCACGACUCCAAUAAUUCUUACCACCAUUUUCUCAUUUUACUCACAGGCCUAUUACCUUCGAAUUGUUACUGCUAUAGCAAUGCCAAGGUAUAAGAGAACAGCUAGCCGACUUAAAGAUCCUUCACGCUUCCAAAGUUACCACGUGUAAGAAAAAUAUGAAGAAUUCAUUGAACCGCGCAAGAUUCUGGAAGAAAAAGGGUUUCAAUUUCCAUCGCAAUCCACAGGAAUUGUGCAAACAGUACACAAUGCUACAGUAGUCAAAGAAUUUUACACCAAUUUGGUAAGCCCUAAUCAGUACAAUAUUUGGGUAAGAAAUACACUUGUUCCAUUAGACUCUCGAGUUAUAAAUGCUUUUUAUAAUUUACCUGCUGAAAUUAAUUGUGAGUAUGCCAAGUUGCUUGACAAAUUGACUCCAAAAAGAUGGAACACCAUCUUCACAACUCUUACAAUAGAGAAGGCAUCGUAGGCUAAUGAGGAAGGGCGUGUAAUUAAUAGGAUAGAUUUAAAAUCUAUUGCUAAGGUGUAAGUGAAAUUUCUAAAAUCCAGGCUGAUGCCAACCACCCACACUACUACUAUUUCACAAGAAAGGUUGGUUUUGUUAUAUGUUAUUGUUCGAAGGCUUCCCAUAGAUGUGGGAAGCAUUAUCGAAAAAGAAAUUAGAGAUUAUGCCAUCAAAAAACACAAAGUUGUCGUCUUGCUAUUUCCUUUACUCAUAACCAGCAUCUGUGUAGUAUCUGAUGUUUGUCUUGAUGCAAAUGAUGAACAUGUCAAGAAUGAUAGUGCCCUUACUACACACACCAUUGAGAGAAUUGUUGGUGAAAGUGCUGGAGCAACAACGGAACCAGCUGCUGUCACAAGGGCGAGACGAGCUAUUGGUUUAGAAUAGACAAUUCAGGCGCUGAGUACCAGUAUCACUCAAUGGGCUGAGGCUCAGCAGAAGGAAAACGAUCGAUUUUGGAGCUAUUUACAGCACCUAGACAACCACUUACACCAAUUUGCUCUUUACAUAAAAACACACCCACCGGCAUUUCCUUAAUUCAUUACUCUAGCGGUAUAAUUUUGACAUCAACACCACAGAUGCUCCAGCAGAAGCCAGUGAAGAAGCCACUGACAUAGAUGAACCAGAAGCAGCAGUUGCAGCAGACCCACAAGCAGAGGCUGACUUAGAAAAUGCUGAACCAUCUGAUCAACCUGAGGAAGAAGGUGACAAGUCUGCGACUGACAGCUCACCCACAGAGGCAGAUGAAGAUUAUGAGAAAGAACGUGAGGAACCCCCAGUCAGGACCUCUUCCAAAAUCAAGACAAAGCACAUCAUCCAAGAAGAGGAAGAGAGUGAACCUAAAGAGGAACCCCACAUUCCAGCCAUUUCGAGCAAGGGCAAGGAAAAAAUAGCAACUCAUUCUGCCUCUGAAGAUGAAGUCGAGCAAGUUGAUGCAAAGUUGGAAGCUGCAGCAACCAGAGUCAUGCGUACACCCACCGAACCCAAGCCGUUAUUUGACAUCAUUGCCGCAUUCACAACUGAGGGACAAGCAGCUGAUGCACCAACCCUAGCUCCUCCAUAGCAAAUUCCUAGCAAACUUAUUCGUGCUAGUCCUAGAGGAUCCAGCAAAACAAAAGGCAACAGUUCUAGAGGCACUGCUGCAACAGCCUCGACAGAACCAAAAAGGACCAGAUCGGUGUCCACCAAGCAAGCUGCCUCAGCCGCAACUCCUCCCACCAGCCCAUUGAAGAAAAAGACAAAGACGUUGCCAGCUACCUCCCCACAAGCUUCCCCAAAGGAUAAGCUGCGUAAUGCAUCCAAGAAAUGCUGAUGUCAUCCCCCCAUAUUGCAGCAACACCCAAACAACAGGGGAGUAUCUCAUUCUUGCUAGUCAAUUUAUUUAAUUCUGAAAAACUUGUCUUUCAUUAUGUUUUCAAUUUGUGUGAUUUAUUUUCUAAUGUCCUCCUCCAUGUCCUUAUCGAUUUGUGUGACUUUGUUGUUGUGUGCUUGUGAGGACACAACACCAUUUAUAGCUUGGGGGGGAUGUAUCUCUGAGUGUUUUGAAUAUGUGUUUAUGUAUGUAUUGUGUGAAGCACUGCUAUCUAAUAUUUGUGUAUGGAUUUAAAAACCUAAUGAAGAGAAAUUUAAUGUUAAUUAGUGAUCAUAAGAAUGCCGAGUAGAGAUAAUUAUAGAUGGAGAGUGAAAUUCUGUCCUGACACUUAAACUUUGGUGGAGUUUUAUGAGAUUGUUGUGGCAGAGCCAAAAGAAUAGAAAAGAUCUUAAGUUUGGGGGAAAAUGUUUGAUUGACUGUGCUUGCUAUGAGAUAAAUUCUGCUCCGAUGGCUCAAGUUGCUGAGUAACCAGAGCUGAGUAUUGACCCCAUAUGCAGAUUUGCGUCCAAAGACAACAAGAGUUAUGAGCAGUGUUGUAGCAGCAAAAAAAAAAAGUGAGACAAUAAUACGAGGAAGUCCUCUAUCUAGGAUAUUGAGUAGUCAGGUCUGUUCAUGAGCCCCAUGUUCAACCUUGAGGAAAAGAUAUCUCUAGAUAAGAUUAUGUUACAGAUAUUGCUACAUCAACUCUGAUCUGUGCAUGGUUUGAGUAAUUGGGUGUCAUCAUUACAAUUGAUUGGCAUUCACAUGAAAAAUAAAUGUUGCAGUGAGGAGGUCGAAUACUCUCAAGUUUUCAUUCUUAAAGACAACACAAUUUGAGUAUGUGAGAUUUAUGCUACCCCAUAUAUGAAUAAAAUUGUACUACUACUGAAUUACAUGCAAUCUCUUGGUAAUGUUGUAGCAUCUUUGGAAUUCAAUCAAAGUAACACACACACACAGUGGACAUAAGGAAGUUUAAGUCUAGAACUGAUUUACUAUAGUCAUUUUGCAUGAUUGGGAUUGUGAAAUGAAGGUGGAAGAAUCCGUGCAAAUUUGAUAAAAGAGUUAAGUUGUGUGUUGCAUGAUUGUGUGUGUGAAGUGUUAGUAUGUUGUCAUUACUUGAGGACAAGUAACGGUUUAAGUUUGGGGGUGUGAUAACUCUAUGAAAUGAGAGUUAUUACAUCAAUUCUAGACUUAAAUCAAGAUCACUUAGAGAGUAAAUGAGGUGUUUUUAUUAUAUUUUGGUUAUAUUUUGCAUAAACAUUCAUCUUAGUUGAGCCUUAAUAAGUUUUGCUUGAAUUAAAGUAAUUUGUGCUCAAAACAUGUGCAUAAUUGUAGGUUUUCAGAAGUUUAUAAUUCAUGAAGGGAUGUUGAGAUAUUAGACUAGCAAGAGGAGGAAAGAAUAUGGCCACAAAAUAAGUAAAGCACAACCGGGAACAGUGCAGUGUUAUAGCCGUUGUUAGAGCAACCAUUGCUGUAGCAAUCCUGGAGCACUGAGGGAGAAAACUUAGCGCGGGUCAGCUGCAGAAUUGCGAUCUGCAGUUUCCUAAUUUAACUCAUGCACGCCAGAGGCUUUUGUUUACCCUAGUUGUUAGUUAUAAAAGGGGGCGAGCACCACUUAAAACGGCGGCAAGGAAUUAACAUUGGAAAAUCGAGAGGAAGAAAAGAAAACAAUCCGAAUUCAAGGGAACCAAUUCUGCAUCAGUGAAGAAUCCACCAGAUUUAUUUAGAUUUAAUCUUCAUCGUUCUCUACUUGUUCUUUUCCUUACUCGUUAAUUGAACCGAUGUAUUUCAUGACCAAUAUUUUGAUGUUUGUUUUUCUCUUUCAGAAUAUGAACUAAUUUUGCUUGUAGUUGAGUGACAAACAAUCUAAUGGGUUCUUGACUGUUCUUAUGAGUUGUUAUGUCAUUGCUGUAGCAUUUUACUCUAGUAGCAAUUAUUAUAAUUGUUCUUUCGGUUGACCACCCAUUUAAUAGUUCAAGUUAAGAUAGAGCCGCAAAAGGGCAUCUCUUAGUGGUUAUUAUUAGAGUAAUACUUGAUCUUAAUUUGAGUUUCCUGGAUUAAGUUUAUCUUGAAUCCCAUAAGGGCUAUACUUGAAGUUAAGAUUUGUGACAAACUAGACAUAGGUACUCACCUCGUAGGGUGGAGAGAAUAAAGGUUCAUAAGGCCAUGUCAUAGGUAGAAUAGCAACUGGUCAUUGCUAAUAUACUUAAGGGUGUGAGAGUUCCAACACGCGACAACUGAGGAUGUAGACUAAUUCUGCCCAGUGCUGUAGCAAUUGAUGUAACAACUGGUGUUAACUUGAGAAAAAGCAGUCAGCCCAUAAAGAGAGUUUGAUCAUUCAACUACCUUAUUCUCAAUUGAUUCUUAGACGUAUUUAAUUUAAGUUAAUUCAUUACUGAAUUGUUUUAUUUUAGUCUCUCACAAUUAUCAAUUUCAAUAGAACCUACUUUACAUUUGUUAACUUGGACUUAAGGUAUAUUGCACUGUUGUGAUUGUUGUAGCAUUUCUAGUGACAUCAAUCCCUGUGGAGACGAUCUUGAAUAUUCAUCACUUUAUUACUUGUUGUGUACACUUGCACAUUGGCAUCAAUAACAUUUGAUUAUAAUAAAUCACCAACAGCAGCCUACAAUAUCUCAUAUUCACUAGGCUAUACAUUAUUCAUGUUGUCAAGAAAGCUUGUUAACACUUCCAAAGCCCUACUAAACAAGACCUCAAAGUUGUUACAAGAAUCCUACGCUAUCUCAAAGGCACUCUCAACUUCGGACUUUGAUUUCUUUAAGAAAAGCUCCAAUCAAUCAAAACCUUUUCGAACUCUAAUUGCAUUGGUUGCCUUGAAAUAAAGUUGGCAAAUUAAGGGUCUGGGCCAGGCUUGAACUGAGCCUUUUAAAGCCUAGGCCCAAGCCCAACUUGUUGAGAAUAAGCCCAUGCCAUUCAAAAGUCCAUCCAAACAUUAGACUGGGAAGGCUUGGGCCUUCAUUAUUUUUUAAAUAAAUUUUUAAUAAAGUAAAAAAAUUUAAAUUCAAGAUAACUAUUCUAUACAUAAUAGAAUAAUAGUCAAAUAUUUAAAAUAUUAGUAGGACAACAAAAUAGAUAAUAAAUGCUUAAAUAAAAAAUAUAUUAAUAUAAGAUUUGAGUUUUUAAUUUGAUAUUUUUUAUUUAUAAAUUAAAAAGUCCGGGCUUGAUAUUAGUAACACAACAUAAUAAAUCACAAAUACUAAUACGAGUGGGCAUAAACCCACAAUUCAUGGGUUUACCAAAUCCAAACCAAAUUAAAUAGUUUGAGUUGGGUAAAUUAUGAAAAUGGGUUAAAUGUGGGUUUUAUAUAAAAAAAAAAAACAUUUCAUUAUGGGUUGGGUAUGGUUUACCCAUGGGUCAUGAAUAAAACCCCAACACUCAAACUUAUCAAAUGAAAUAAAUGAAAAAAAAAACAAAUAAGUGAAAGGUUAUUAUUAAAUUGUUCACGGCGUGAUCAAUUGUUAACAGUUAGAAAAGGAAAACAACAUGUAAAAUCAAAUCUGAAUUAAAUAAAUGCUAUUGUAAAUAAUUAAAUGAGAUGAAAUUAGUGUUUGAUGAAAUGAAAUCAUUUUUUUUUAAUUUAUAAACUCAUAUUAUACUUACGUAAUUACCGCUUUUAUAUUUCUAACAGUAAUAAGAAAACAUCAAAUCUAUAUUGUUGUUUUCGUAUUUAAAUUAAGGAAAAUUAUAGUAAUAAUGUUGAGAUGGUUUUUGAGGGCAUAGUUACCUAGCCCAUUGGAAGAAAAUAAUUAAUAAUUAUGAGAAAUAAUAUUUCGCCACUGAUAAAAUAUUAUUGUGACAGAAAUUAUAAAUCCUUAUUAUAAAUAAAAUUAACAUUUUGUGUGCUAUAUUGAUAUUGUAGCAUAAAUAAUACUCCGUUUUUUAUUUUGAUGGGAUUUAUUGACAUUGAUCCCCCAUCUUGAAAUUCAUGAGCAAUCAACCUAUUGAAAAAAAAAAACACCAUUUGAUAAAAAAUUAUCAUCUCAAUAAUUAUAAGUCAAAGGAUACAUUUUUUUAGUUAAAGAAAUUUUAUUAUUUUAACUAAAUGGCACUCACAUAAUUUUUUUUAUUUGCUUUCUUUGAAUUUACCUGUUGAUGUCAUGUUUGUGGAAGUUUAUUAUUAGAGUUUACGUUCUUAUUUAUUGAGAAUUAAUGAUUUUUGUGAUUAAACUUUAUUUUAAUUUUCUAGUAUUCUUUAAUUUAAGGAUUAAGUUAUUAUAAAAUUUAUUAUUUAUAAUUUUUAUCCACUAGUUUUUUCAUAUUUUAGUAUCAAUUUAAAAAUUAAUAACAAUUAAUAAUUAUUAUAAUUAUUAUAUAAUUAAAUUUAUCAAAAUAAAAAAUAUUUUGAUAAUAAAAUUCAAACCAAAUCCAAAUGAGUUGGUUUGGGUUGGGUUGAAAUUAUUUGGGUUGGUUUGGAUCGAACCCAAACUUUUAUGGUUUGAUUUGGGUUUACUUAAAACCCAAUCAAAACCAACACAUGCCCACCCAUAAAUACUAAUAUAAAAAAUGUUAAUAUAGUAUUUUAAUUUUUUUAAUUUAAUAUAUUAUUUAUUUAUAAAUUAUAAAGCCUUGGCUUUUUCUAGGCCCAAUCUAUGCGGGCUUCAUAUUUUUCAGCCUAUAUCCAGGCCCAAUCCAUGUAGCUCGGCUUGGACUUUUUUGGUAACCGUACCUUGAAAUAGAAUGUUGCACAAUAGGCUUUUGUAUUUACCUUGGGACAAAUUUAAUCUCAUGGUGUAGCAAGAAACAAAAAAUUGUUGCAUGAUCCAUUGUACAAGUACAAUAUCGGGCUUAAUUUGUCUCCCAAAAUGGCUUAAUUAACUUGGAUUCUUACUUUAUUUUAGGACAUCGGGGUCUCAACUUUACAUGUUCCUCACCUCCUCAACAACAACAAGAGCGCCAUCAACAUGACACAUAAUCCACUUCUUCAUGCUCAUAGCAAACACAUCGAAAUCGAUGUCCAUUUCGUUCGUGAAGAAGUCAUUCAAGGACUUCUUGAAGCCAAGCAUAUUCCCUUAUUGUUGCAAACUAUAUAUCCACUUACCAAACCACUGGGUAAAGAUCUUUUCUUCCUCUUUCAGCACAAGCUUGGCAUUCACUCUAUAACCCAACUGAUCUCAAGAGGGCUGUUAAGAUACACUGCCCACCACAUAUGGAAUUCGCGGAAUUCAAAUAGUCACAGCUAAUGAACCAUAUGCAGCCACACGAGUCACGUACCAACAUGGAAAAGAUCAACACACCAACUCAAUCCAGCAUUAACAUGGCAAGUAACAAACCUUUGGAAACAAAUAUGCCAAUCUGUAUCGCUCUGGCAAAAGGCUUACAACAAAAUCAUCUCACACAAUCCUGUGACAUGCAAACUCACCAACGAAAGAUAGCCAACUAUCAUUCAAGCCUAGAUUUUCUUCAUAACAUAGCCAAUGCACUACAACAAAAAGUUGUAUUACCGACCAAAUAUUUCCAAGGGCAUUGUUUACCCUCGAUAAUAAGCACUUUUUACAAGGACAUAAAGUAGUUGUUGGAAAAUCAUUAAAAAAAUGAAAUAUAAUACUAAAUUAAAAUAAAAUCUUUGAACCUCCUAUAAAAAAGAUAAAACAAAAAUAAAUCCUAUAAAUAUAAAAAAAAUAUUAAAAAAUAUUAAAAAAAAACAAAAUGAAGGUAUUAUCAGUUCAUACAAAAGAAACAAAACCAAUUAAAUAAAGCCCAACCCUUUCGUAGAAAAUAAAGCCCCUAAACAAAAUAAGACAUUGUAAUCAAUACAAACUGAUUAAAAGAAAAUUCAAACGAACAAAUGGAGACGCUAUUUUCAUCUUAGCAUCUGCUGCUCUCUCUCUCUCUGUAUCUUGUUUGCAUGUAGAAGCACCUCAAAGUAAAUUUACUUAGAAUUUUUAGCUUGCAAAUUUUUAACUCUUUUUAGCUUUUCCCACAGUUUCUCCAAUCCAUCUCCCUCUUAAUAAUUUUUCUUUAAUAUCAUAAAUUUUCUAGGGUUUUAGAGUUGUAGAUUCACAACUUUGUGCAUCUUCUGUGUCUCUCCGAGUCAGCUCAUCAACUCUUUGUACGCAUCUCUUGGUCUGUAGUUUUGAUACUUGUAAUUUUUAUUCUUCUUUCAGUUAUUUACUUUUGUUUCUUGCAUUUCAAUCUUAUUAAAGUUUUACUUUCUGGGCCUUAAUGACUUGAAUUUCACCAAGUUCCUUAAAACUUAAUUGGUAAUUACUUGAUCCAUUAACAUGAAUUUGUAAUAAAAAUGUUUUGUGAUAAUUCUCGAUGGUGUAUUUAAUGUGUAAUUAACUACAGAGUUUGCAUAAUUUAGAAGCACAGAGUGCACAACCAUUUCUUGUUUGGUUAAUCGAGUUUGCAUUUAUUUGCUUUGUUUUAUCGGAUUGAAAAACACUAUUUUAGAAAGUCAACUUUGAUGAGUUAUUAAAAAUGAUAAUUAGGAACAUUCAAAGGAAAUCCAAGAGUGUUAGUUAUUGUGCAAAUUUUAUUGAACUCGCAAGCGCACGAAUCUAUUGUAGAAUAGACUAAUGGUGACGAGUGUCGAUCCCACGAGGAGGUGGAUUUUAAUUAUAUGUAGAAUUAAUUUUGUAAAUGGGUGGUUGGAUUUGUGGUGGAAGUGAUUUAAAUUAUCCUAAAAUUUGAAUUGAAAUGGCGAGAAUAAAUUCUAAAAUUGGAAUUGCAAUGACGAGAAUAAAUUGAAGAGAAAUCUAUUGAAAUGACAUACUUGGGUAUCUGGAUCCGUAUCAACAUGCAUCAUGGGCUAAAUAUUCCUUAUUAAUACCAAUUAAAUCAUGAGGGGGGAAUCCACACCUCAUGAAUCACACUCUAAUCAAUAUGGUGCUAAGGGCUUAUCGUGCCAAAUAAUAAUAACCUUGUACUAGGGAGCCGGUGAAACCAAGGCGGUACUAGACAAAAUUAGUAUUAUUUGUCGACGAGAAGUCAAAACAUCCACAAAAAUUAGAGGGGAAGAGAAAGUAAAUUUACCAAAUAAAGCCCACGACACAUGUUGAGACUUCACCUUCAACCCAAGCUUGAAAGAAAAUUAGCCACUCAUAAUUGAACUAGGGGCAAAAUAGGAAUUUAUUAAAAUACGUAGAAAAUACAAGAUGGAGAAGGAAUUAUAGAAAAUGAAUCCCAAAAAUGGAUUUAGAGAUAUCAAAUUACGGGGGGGAGGCCCCCUUUUUAUAGAUACAUCGAGUAAAUCAUGGCCAUCGGAUUAAAAACAGUUUGGACGCUCAGGAUUGCACCACAUCAUCAGUCGUGAAUAGUACACGGUUUGACCACAUGGAUGAACAGUAACACGGUUUGCACCGGGUGAACAGUGACGCGAUUUGGUUGAAAAUAAUCUUGUGUGUUGCAUGUACUGUACGUGAGAUUUUUGGUCCAUUGAUAUGCUGCCACGUCAUCGAUCAACAGUGCAUAAGAAUUUUAGUCCAACAGGAUCGUGACACCUCAUCAGUCAAUGCCACAUCAUCGGUCAAUGCCACGUCAUCAAUCCGUCUAUGUGAAGAGUGUCGGGAACAGUAACGUAGACAGUACCGUACAUGUGAACAAUGCCAUUUUUCCUUUUAUGCUCCUCCUAAGGUUUUCGACCGUCCUGAGUUCAAAAGUGAUGUCCGUUUUGCCGUCUGAUCUCUCGUUUAUUGUGAAAUGACUAUGACACCCCUAAAAUACAUAAAAUACUUAAUUAAAAUAAAACACACAAUUAAAUUACAAGAAGCUUAAACACAUAAAAGUAAGGGUUGUUAGUAAGACGUGAAAUGUAAAAUAACGAUUUUCUCCUUUAUAAAUAUGCAUUUUCUAACACUCAACAUUAGUGCUCAACAAAAAUAAAAUAAAAUUAAAUUAGUGAUAGUCAUAUUUAGAGCUCAGCAAAAAUGAUAUUCAGUUUCAUUUUUGUUUGAUGUCAACAAUUUUAAUACUAAUGGACAUGUUUCAGGUUUUGAUUGUUGUACCACUAUACAAAAAAGCUUCUGUGCUUUGUGGUGGUUGCUUUUCUAAUUAUAUUAUGUAGGUUAGAAUUUGUUCUUUAAAGUCUGCAAAGGGUUUUGUUUCUUUAAUGAUGUAGUAUAUCUCUUGAGUGCUACUGUGGCUACUGCUUGCAUAAUGAUUUUGCCUUUCAUAUAGUUUUUUUUUUAUUCAGACAUGUUGUUGGUUGAUAAAUCAUGGAUGUAAUUAGAAAAGUCAACAAGUGAAUAUGUUAGUGGAGUGAACAAUUUUCUUGAUUAUGCUUUUAGACACAUUAAAUAUGAGGAUAAAAAAAUCCUCUAUCCAUGCGUUAAGUGUACCAAUAGGUAUAGAUUAGUUCAGAGCGAGGUGGAAAGACAUUUUUUAUAUAAAGGGAUGAGAUUGGACUACACUACUUGAUACUAUGGGAUAUUAUCAUUCGAAUACCCUAUACAUGUUCUGUUAUAAAAAAUACUACAAUACUUUGAGGGUGUAUCAAUCGUCCACCCUAAAUUGAUAAAAGUUAUAUGCCAACCACCAAACCGUUAGCUGCCGUUUGAAAGUUAACAGAAUUGUAGCAAAUUGACGAUGUUACCCUUGAAAAUUAUCACUUGUAUACCCUUAAAUUCUUUUAUUAUCACUUGUAUACCCUUUAAUUAUUACUUGUAUCAUAUGAAAAGACCAAAUUACCCCUCUGACAUCAUCUUAUUUAAACGGUAAGUAACGGUUUGGUUAAUAGCAGAUACAUUUUGUCAAUUUAGGGUGGACGAUUGAUACACCCUCAAAGUCUCGUAGUAUUUUUGAUAACAGAGUAUUCAUAGGGUAUACGAAUGAUAAUUUCCCUUAGGAAAAUAGAAAGAGUAAUAGUGAUAGUGAUAGUGAUGGUGAUAAUGAUGAUGUUGACUGUUAUAGUGAUGAUGGUCGUGAUGGUGGAUAUAAUGAUAUGUUUGGCCAAGUUGAAGAAAGUUUUUCCAAGAUCCUAAAAAUGAUGCACAACAACCAUUAAGUUUUUAUAAAUUAUUAGAAGAGGCACAACAACCAUUGUAUUCAAAUUGUACGAGAUAUUCCAACUUAUCUUUUUUUGUCACAUUAAUGCAUGCCAAAUGCAUUAAUGGUUGGAGUAACAAAUCCUUUGACACAUUAUUGGAGAUUUUGAAGGAUGCAUUUUCUUCAUGUGAAAAAUUGCCUAUGUGUAAUUAUGAUGCAAAAAAGAUAGUUAAAGAUAAUGGUUUGCAUUAUGAAAAAAUUGACGCAUGUAUGAAUGAUUGUAUAAUCUAUUAUAAAGAAUUUGCAAAUGCAUCUCAAUGUCCAACUUGUGGGCUUUCGAGAUGGAAGACAAAAGGUAAGGUGGUGAAGGAAAAGCCAAAAAUGUUCUUGGAAGGUUAUAUGUUACUUUCCUAUUACACAUAGACUUCAAAGGUUAUUUAUGUCAUCUAAAGUAGCUGCACACAUGAGAUGACACUCUGAAAAGCGUGUUAAAGAUGGGUUGCUGAGGCAUUCUACAGAUUAUGAGGCUUGGAAGAGUUUUGAUCACAUUUAUGAGUCAUUUUAUAGCGAUCCCCGUAAUGUUCGACUGGGUUUAGCUAUUGAUGGCUUCAAUCCUUUUGAAAAUAUGAAUUUUGGAUACAACUGUUGGCCUGUUCUUUUAUUUCCAUACAAUCUUCCACAUUGGAUUUGUAUGAAAGAGUCGUAUAUGUUCAUGUCUUUCCUUAUCCCAGGUCCAAAAGGCCCAGGUAAUGAUAUUGAUGUGUACUUGAGGCCAUUAAUUGAUGAGUUGAAUGAGUUGUGGGAAAAUGGAGUGAAUACUUAUAAUGUUUCCACACGUUUAAAUUUUCAAUUGAAAGCGAUUGUUAUGUAGACAAUUAAUGACUUUCCUACAUAUGAUCUUACAUCUGGUUGAAGCACAAAAGGAAAGUUGGUUUGCCCAUGUUGUGCUAAGAAGACUGCUCAUCGUAGAUUACAUCACAGUUCAAAAAUAUAUUAUAUGAGGCACCGUCGAUUUUUGCCACUGGGACAUAAGUGGAGAUUUCAAAAGAGCCAAUUUGAUGGUAUGAUAGAAAAGAAAGCUACACCGAAAAGACCAUCUAGUGAGCAAGGGAUAAAUGAACUUGAAAGUUUAAGGCCAAUAAUAUUUGGUAAAACAGGGAAAAAGCAAGUCAUUCAUGGGUUUGAAAAGCAUAAAAAUUAGAAAAAACAUAGUUUUUUUUUUCAGUUACCAUACUGAAAACGUUUUUAUUGUAUCACAAUUUAGAUGUCUUGCAAAUUGAAAAAAAAAUAUGCGGGAUAAUAUACUUGGUGCACUUUUUAAUAUUGAUGGCAAAACAAAAGAUAACCUAAAUGCUCGCCUUGAUAUAGAAUCCUUGAAUAUAAAGCAUGAGCUUCACCCAAAAUAUGAUGAUGGAAAACCUAUUUUUCCCAUUGCUUCUUGUAGUUUGACAAAUGAAAAGAGAUAAAGAUUGUGUGAGUGGCUUAUGAAUGUGCAAGUUCCAGAUGGAUAUUCAGCUAAUUUAUUAAGAUGUCUGAAUAUACUCGAGCAUAAAAUUCCAUGCAUGAAGAUUCAUGACUGUCAUGUGUUCUCAGAGAGAUUAUUGUCUCUUACAAUGCGAGAGUUUUUACUAAAAGAAAUUUGUGAUGCUUUGAUAGAAGUUAGCACAUUUUUCACAGAAUCAUGUGCUAUGGUUUUGAAAGAAUAAGAUUUGGUUAGGCUUGAAAAACAAAUGAGCUUAACACUUUGCAAAUUACAAAAAAUAUUCCCUUUUUCCUUUUGCAAGUUAAAAAUGGUAACUUAUUAUGACUUUGUACAGUGCAUGCUGCAUUAUUUUUUUAUCAUGUAGGUUUUGUAACUAUGAUUAAUCUAACCGUUUCUACCAUUUGUGUUUGUUUGAAAUAUUUUUGUUGAAAGAUUAAUUGGCUUCUAAUGGUUAAAAAUGGAAAGUUUCGAACUAUAAACAAAAAGAAGUCUCUAGCUACUAACGAAGGGAAAAAGACAAAUGAAAAUUACAAGAUCGAAUGACAUAGUUGCUAGCAAAGGAAAGUCUCAAGCUAGCACACAUAACAAGGUUACUGAAUUAGCUCUAUAAUUGGUGGUGAAGCUUUAUGUUUUACUACAAUAGAUGAAGGUAUUAACUUAAUGUUUAAUGCACAAUUAAAUUUAAAUUAAUGGCUAAUUUGUAUCUUAUUUGAUUUUGUACCAGCUUCAAGUAGCAAAAAGAAGCAAAAUGGUCGAGGAAAGGCCAAAGCAGUUGCUCAAGGGCAUGUUAUAACUUUAGAGAUAUAUGAUGGUAGGUAAAAUGGUUGACAAAUGGAUGGAUGAGGGGUGGAAAGUACUAAUAAUGACUAUUAGCAUAAUACUUUUCUGUCAUUUUCUUUCUUAAGCUUCGCUAUUCUUUUAAUUCAUCAGUGAAUUAUAGUUGCUAGAAUCAUUAUAGGAAUAAAAAACUUAUAAAUAUUGUCAAUGUACUUUAUACAUGAGUUGUUCUUGAUGGGUGUUGUCCACAUUUUAUUGUACUCGCAAGGGUACGAAUCUAUUGUAAAUAGAUUUUGUGUUCGGUCCCACGAGAAUAUAGAUUUAAUUAUGCAUAGGGUUAAUUUUCUAGGUGUAUAUGUGAGUUGGUUGGGAGUGAAUUUUUUUAUCUUAAGAUUUAAAAAAAAAUGGCGGGAAUGAAUUAAAGAUGAAAAUAAUGCAAAUGAAAAGCUUGAAUCUCUAAAUUUAUACUCAACAUUUCACAAUAGGCUUAAUAUUUAUGUGUUUAGUUCCAAUUAAUUCAUGAAGGGGGUAUUUCAACUCCUCAUAAUUCUCACUCUAAUAAAUAUGACAUCAAGCGCUCAGUGUGCAAGGGGUAAUGAUCUUCCACUAAGUGUGGUGUCAAGAACACGCUGUGCCAGAUGAUAAUAAUCAACAACAUGGCAAGACCAUCCACUAAAUAGCUUAGAUACACUCUCUGUCAAUAUUGAAUCAAGACGACCCACAAAAUACCAUAGGGAAAUUUUCUCUCUAAUUAAUAUGAUGUUAAGUGCUCAUUGUGCCAGACAGUAACGAUCCUUCACUAGGGAGCAGGUAUACUGUGCAAAAUCUAGACAGGAUACACUGUCUGUCGACAAUGAGUCAAAACAACCACAGAAAUCAGAGAGAAAAAAAAAAUAAACUUACCUAAGCCUAUGGAUCAUGUUUAACCUUCACCUUCAACCCAAGCUUGAAAUAAACUAGCCACUUAUAAUUGAACAAGGAGUAAAAUGAUAAUUUUAUUAAAAUAUGUGGAAAAUACAAGAUGGAGACAGAAUUAUAGAAAAUGGAGCUCGAAAAUGGAUUCAAGGGUGUUAAAUUAGGUGGAGGAGCCCUCUAUUUAUAAAUACAAUAGGUAAAUCAUGGCCAUCAAAUGAAAAUAAUUCAUACGCUCAUGAUUGCGCCACAUGGCAAGCUUUGAUUGGUUGGCACACUUUAUUAGUCAACACCACAUCAACAUUUCGGUCCCAUAAGAUACUGCCACAUCAUCAGUCAAUGCCACAUCAGUAUUUUGGUCCAAUAACAUCCUGCCACAUCAUCGGUCAAUGCCACAUCAUCAUACCGUAUAUGUGAAACAGUGUUGUACUUGGGAAUAUUACCUAAUAUGUGAACAGUACCGUAUGCCGAAUAUCCAUUUAUGCUCUUCCUAAGGUUUUCGACCAUUAUGAGUUCAAAAAUACCAUCAGUUUUGUUGUCUGACUUCUCGUUAGUCAUAAAAUGGCCAAAAUAUCUCAGAAAUAUAUAAAAUACUUAAAUUAUAAUAAAACACACAUAAUAAAAGCUUAGAGGAUUUAAACAUGUUAAAGUGAAAAUGUUAGUGAGACUUGGAGCAUAAAAUGAUAAUUUUACCCUCUAUAAAUAUGAAUUCUCUAGUACUCAACAAUGGGUUCAGAAUAACCAAGUUGAUUUUAUGCUUUUUUUAAAAUUAUAUAUAGAAAACAGGCACAACGAGCAAGAGGAAUUGAACCAAGUCCAAACUUAUUCAUACUACAAGUUCGUCCCAAUGGCCAAGCAUAGAACAGAAAUGAGAAGAGAACAUGUUUGACUUUGAUCAUAAAAGAAGUGUGUUUAUUUAUUAUGAUCUUAUUGAAUUUCAAUUCUUUAUUGCAGUAACAAAUAGGUACUUAACUUAGUCCACUUAAGAUGUUUCAUGUAAGGGGACAUGGGCAAGUAACAAGGCAAAGGAAAUGCAUGUGUGUAUUUGAUAUUAAAUUUUCAUAAUAUUCCUGAUUUAUUUGCAUGAUUUCAUUACUAUAUGCACUAACACAAAUGUUUGUAUUUAUUAUAGGAAACAAUGGAAUCAAGGAGAUUCACUGUUAUAGAUCAAGGCUUGCCAUUGGAUGAAUGGAAAAUAUCUCGAGAAGUGACAAGAGAAGCAGCACAUGGUCGUGUUGUUGGUUAGGGAGCAGGCAUCAAAGGCAAGGAUGUGUAUGGUUCUCCAAGUUAAGGAGGUAACAAGCAUCAAUGUAGUAAUUUGGAAGUAAAAGUAAAAGACUUUUAGAAAGAAAUCAAGAAGUUGAAAAGAAUGAUAAAACUUGUUCUUGGAAAGUCUGCAUAAGAAUCAUCUCAGAAGGUAUAAGUUGUUUAUUUCAUUUUAUUAAUAGAUUAAGUGAAUGAAGUGUUCUAUAUUUUGAGUUCUCAUGAAAAAUGAUUGGUGAUUUGUCAUUGCUCUAUUAGUUGAUGAACUUAAUUAAUUAUGGACAAGCUUCUAAUAUAGGUGAAUGAUGGAAUAAUUAUUAGAUUUUUUGAAAUGGAGACUAUGCAUCGAUAUAAAGUUGUUUUUAUUACAAUAUUUUUCUCAUUAGUCUCAGUUUCUUGAUUAUAUUUCAUACAAGUUCUUGUUUUGGUAAUAAUAAUGAUUAAAAUUCCUUCUUUCACCUAGGACAUUGUUUUGACGGGAGAAGAUGAUGGGUAUGAGGAUGAUGAAGUUGAGGUAAAUGAUUCAGAAACUGAAGUUGUUUUAGAGGAUGAUUGAACAAAUUUAAGAUAUGGUGAUAUCAUUUUGUAUAUACUUGGGUAUAUUUUUUUUUUCUGUAAAAGAUAGUAUAAAAUUGAUCUUUUUGUUCAUUUUUGAAUGAUGAAUGUGAUUUUAUGAAUUUUUGAAAUUAAUGAAGUUACAUUUAGUAUAUUUCGUAUAUUAUUAUUAUGUUUGUUACAUUACUUCCCUAAUAUAGAUAUUUCAACAAUAAAAAUAAAAAAAUUAAUGAAAUAAGUCUAUUUCUGACAGUGUAUCUUUUAUUUCUGAGGAAAUGUUGCAGCUGAAUAUAAAAAUAACUAGGUUUAUCUUAUCUUAUUUCGGAGGGCAUUUAAUUCCAUAUCCGAUGGCAACAUCCUCGGAAAUUUUUUUUUUCUCCAACGACUCAUCAGAAACUCAACAUUUCCGAUAAGACUUAAUACGACGACGAUCGACGGCAUGUCCUGCUUGAAAAUGAAUUUUUCCGAGAGUCUUUGUCUAUUUCCAAGGGUACUUGCCCUCGGAAAUGUUCCAUUUUCUUGUAGUGUACGGCUAGCUAGUCAAUGUCUAGGUUUAGAAUGAAUCCCAUUAUUUCUGCAAAAUAUGUCUUCCAUAUAACAAUCACGUUUCUUAAUAUAGAAAUUAAAACAACACCAACAUAGUACCAAACAAAAAAAAUCAUAUGCUUCAAAGACAAUAAAAUACACAAAUGAUACGAAGCGAAGCAAGAUAAAUGAUAAUAUGUCAAAUGAAAUUUCUAUAUGAUGGAGUUUUUUUUUUGUUUUUCCUUUCCCAAGUUGAGGUCAUGGAUAUCAGGAUAUCAUUGUCAAAUGAAAUUUAUGCUUUUUUUGGUGUGGGGGGAAGGGGGGGGGGGGGGGGGGGGGGGGGGGGGGGGGGGAGAACGUGGCUGUUAUUGUCAAAUUAAAUUUUAUGCACCUUUCUUUUAUUUUCUUUUCUUUUCGUUUUCUCAUGGCAAUUAACUAGUUUGCUCAUGUGGAAUUACACAUCAUUGGCGUUGAAAUUGACUUUUAGAUACCUCCUUCCAACUUUUUUCAUUUCAAUUAUUGAUAUAUUUUUUCAGCUUUCUUUUGAAACUUUCUGAAAUCUGAAUGUAUUGGGAAAAAUAUUUAAUCAAUCUGAAAGCUCAUAUUAUUUCGGUUUCGGAUUGCUCUGAAUAAAUCAUAGUGCAUAUAUUCAGGUCGCUUGAAAUUUAAGGUGAAAAUGAAAUUUAUUUGAAAUUUCAUCAGAUAUCCUUAUAAAAAUAUUUUGUUACACCAACUCUUUAGUUAAAUUUUACAAUAUUAUAUAUUUAAAUGCCCACAAUACAAUUUAUCAUUAAAGAGAAGAUAAUACACACUAAAAUAUUAUGUGAUAUGCAUGGUAUGUAACAUGUUUUUCAUGAAGUGAUUCACAAUUUUUUAUAAAUAUUACGUGAGUUAAUUAAACUAUACCAUCAUUCACUUAAUGAAUAUCGUAUCAUUUGAGAUAAAAUUUCAAGAUGCCUAACACUACUCUUUGUAUAAUCACACUGCACUUUUAAUAGGGUGAAUUCCAAUAAAGUCUUUGUUAUCCUUCAAAUUUACAAAUGAGCUAGCAGUUAACAUAAUCAAUCAAUUACAUCUUUCUAAGUGUUUUUUUCUUUCCCCCAUCUCUAGAUCCAUUGACCACCUUGGAUACUAGCUUGCAUUAAUAGAAAAUUAAUUCAACUUUUUGAACCUUGUAAUAUAAAAGGACCAAAUUGACGGUAUGGAGGAUUUCCCAGCAUCGCUGCCUUGAGAGGUCUCAGGUCUGGUCCAAGUCCAUGUGCCAAUUGCCACUGUUUAUCAACAUCUUCCACUGGUUUCUUGAUGGCAGCCAAAUAAUCACAAAUAGAUUUGAAUUUCUUUUGUAUACUGAUCUACAAUCAAGCAAGCCAGCUUUCUUAAGAGGUUCACUAGUGGCAAACUUUUUUUCAUUGAAACAUAAUAACCAUGCAUGUCUGUGAUUCUCAAGAUUGGCUGUGGUACCAUAAAAAAAGUUUCAUUGACGAAUUGUUGGAUACAUAUACAAUAUGGGGCAUAGAGUUUUGCUCAAGAUUCUUGGCUUCCACCUAGUUAAAUUAAAAGAAACGGAUAGAGGACUAACGGCUAGUGAUUAAUUCAAGGCUUUCAUUAUUCUUGCUUGUUAUGUAAGGUUGAUUGUGCUGUUUGAUCCUCAGUUUUAAUUAGCCUCACUUGAUUGAGUUGACUUGGAUAUUAUACUGCAUGUUAAUUGAAGAUUUUCUUAAUAACAUAGUGGAAAUGUGAUCAAGAUAGAUAAAACCCUCGCAUAAAAUAAGGAUUUUAAUGAUAAAAAAUUAUUAAGCACGUGACAUAAUCUUUCUAAUAGUAAACUAGAAAAGAGAAUCCAUGCACCCCCAAAUAAAAGUCCAAUUAUAAAUUCUGCUUGAAAAAAUUAAAAUACUAAAUAAAAUAAGUAAACUUCAAUUUUGUCUUACAUCAAACAAUCUUAGAUGAUGAUGUUUCUGAUUGGCUUAGAAGAAUCGUGGGGAUGUUAUACUUUUGAAAUAUUAAUUUUUAAUAGUAAUAUUACUCAUUAAUAUGAAUAGGUUAUUUUUACUUUUUUAAUUUUUUACCAAUUAUUUUUUUUUUACUUACAUUGCAAAGAUAAAUUUUGAAUCAUUUAUCAUUAAUGUACAACCUAAUUGUAAAUAUCCAAAGUACCAAUAUAAAUUAUUUUGCAGUUAUUUUGAGAACACAAUAACUUAAGCAAGAUCGUAACUUUAUUAGUAAAGAUAAAACAUAAGAGCAGAUGCUGGAAACAAUAACAAAAUGCAAUAUAACAUAGUACACACAAAUCCUUUAUUCUUAAUAUAUUAAAGGGUGGUCUAGGAUAUUUAAGUUUCCAUCCCAAAAGACUAUAGCAUUUUAAUUGAGUGACUCAUCCUAUAUUUAAACCCGUGUGUCACCUCAUUUUCUAGUCAUUUCGAGACAUUUCAACUACUACGUACACUUAAAUCUUGAACGAUAUUUUGCUAUUCCAUCAAGCAGUACAAGAGACUUGCGGGAAUACGGUUGCUCAAUUCUUUAUGGAUAGACUUCAAUGAGGGACCUCAUGCCAAAUAUAGGUGUUAUUUUGUAGUGACUGAAACCAGCAUCGAAGAAUAGCUUUGCCCAUUCACUUUCAGUUCUCUCUUUUCCAGUAGAGUUAACGCUCAGCACAAUGUCAAACAAGAACUUUGUUUCGGUUAAUUCGUGUUCCUCUUCCUCUGCAUUGAUAACGAUAUCUAUUAUUAUUACCUUUCCUCUCUCACCAUUGCUUGCAAUUGCUUCUCUGCGUUUCUUCAGUAUCUUCAACCCAUCCUCAUCACCUAAUCCAUGAAAAACCAACUGCAAGCAUGCCAAUCACUCAUUUAAUCAAUACCCACCACUUAUAGUGCAGUUCCGUUGUUUGAUCUAACAUUUUAGAUAAAAUAUAGGAUACUUUUUCUUUUUAAUAAAAUCCCAACAGUUCGUGCGUGUGUCUAUCUAUCCAUCUAUCUAUAUACAUACACAAAUCACACUUUUUAGAAUGGAGAUUCGUUGUUUUAAAUAUUGUAAAAUAAUUUUAUAGUGUUGUAGAUAAAACGUUUUAUUACUCCGCCUAUAAACACACACACAUAUAUACAUAUACAUAUAAGUUAUGAAAAAAUAAGUUUCAAUGUUAUACAAGCCUUUACCAAUAUGGUAAACUUCGAAUCUACACUUGAAAAAAUGCGGGCAACCGCACUAUAAAAUGACUACGUAAAUGGUCAUGCUCAAGCCUAAACUUCUAGAUUCUGUAAAAUCCAAAUGUUAAUUAAAUUUAGAGUUGUAUAGCAUUUUGCAGUUACUUUAAAUCUGAUUUGAAUCAUUCAAAUCCUGAUUUUGUAAGAUCGAACGUCCGGAUAUAUGUGCUGCGCACAGAACAAUUGAAAUAAAUCAUCUGGUAUUCACGAAAACGGUUAAGAAGUUGUUUUAAAUUUUUAAAAUUGGAUCUUACCUUGAAGAGAAAGGCAUCUGCCGGAGGGAUAAACUGAAACAUGUCACCUGCUAUGUAUUUAAAGUUGUCGGCCUCAGGCAAGUUAGCAACAACAUGCGGGAGGUCGAGUACAGUGCAUUUGAUGCCAGGGAAUGCUUCAGAGAUGAUUCUGGAUAACGAUCCGUUGCCACCUCCUACGUCAACCAAUGUGCCCAACCCUUCAAAGAUUUGCUUACACUCGGCUUUGACAACAAAGCUUGUCAUUAUUUCAGUGUCACUGGCCAUUGCUUCAUUGAACCGCUGGUUUAUUCCAGGGUUUUGAUUCAUAAAUUCCCAGAACUUGAUUCCAUGAACAGUUUCCCACAACGUGCUCAGUCCCUUUGAACCAACUACUUAAAGACUGAAAUGGAGCGACAAAAAGUGGGUCAACAAAUGCUGAAACAGUUGGUGACAUGCUGUAGGGCUUGUCUUUGAUGAGCAGAGUAGAAGCAGCUGUGAGCCCGUAUACUGUUGGGGAAAAAUCCAGUUUUUAAAUUUUUAUAAAACUUUUUGAAGACCGCUCUCAUAUAAUAUAUAAGAAUACGUAAUCCAGAAAUCGUACCUUGAAAAUUCGAGUUGGCUUUUUCCGCUGAAGUGAUUUAGGCUCCCAGAUCACGAUCCGUCACCACCACUCCUGUUAGAUCACGAUCUGUCACCACCACGCUUGUUAGAUCACGAACUGUCACCAAUGAUCUUACAGGUUAUGACUCAGGUUCGAUCUGCACUUGACGUGUGGGCGCCGUUAUCACUACCAAAGCAACUAGCACGAGAAAAUUUUUCUCUCAACAAUGGAGAGAAAAAUCUUUUUCUCUGAUUUGUAUAAAGUGGCUUCCCUCCUUUCUUUUGGGAAAAAUAAGCCUUUUAUAUCACCCUUUAGUGAAAACCCUAGGCUCCAAAUAAUCCAAAAAAUAAAACCCACGUUAUUUGCUUUUUCAAUAAGGGACCCACCUUGUAAAAUAACAUAAGGCCCCUUACACAAAAGCUAAUUAAAUGGAGCCUCCCACUAAAUGAUAUAUUUAGGCUUUUGACCCAAAUAGCUAGUUAUCUUACUUAUUAGUCCAGUAGUGGUGCAGUCAAUUAAAUGAGCUAACCCGGGGAUCAUUUGGGAACAUACAAUAGUAGCUACAAUAAUUAGGCCUGUAAUUAAACUAGCCCAAUUAUUUAAUUCCAAAUCUACUCCACUAAAAGAUUGGAACUGACUUCCAUAAUUGUAUGCUCGAAUAAUAAUUCGUCCCAAGCCACAUUGAUUUCUUUACUGCACAAUCCUUUGUACCAAAUCGUUAAUUAAAUUGAUAUCUCAACUGUCCAAUCAAUUUAAUAACAUCUUAUUCCUUGAUCCUUACUGGUUUUCUCUAAUGAUCAUUUUCAACAUACUAAAUAUGUUGACACACUCUGGCCAGAGAAUUCUAUGAUCAAGUGCCGAAAACCCAUCAAGAGAUGUGUUGUACAAAUUCUAUAUUGUUAAUCCAUAACUCCAAUACUCAUAAUUGCUCCCACCAAGAUACCGGGUAAUCUUGACCACAAGGAUGUGUCGUGCCCGUUGGUAACUCAAAUGGAAUAACAAUUACAAUCAUGAAAUCAUAAUUAACUCAAGAUUAAGAUUACAGUAAAAUCAACGCCUAUGAGAUUUAAUAAGUCUGACAGUUAUUACAAAGUUAAUUAAAUCUCAUAUGUGAUCCUGUUCAAUGUAGUCGCACUACAUCAAUAAAUUCAUACAUGAUUAAGACAAAUCAUUCAAUGAAUUUAUUACAGUCUAUACCUAAAUAAAGUGCCCAACUUUAUUUAUCAACUGCGAACCAAAUUUAUUUAAUCAUAAGAUAACUUGUAUUUAUGUCUUCUGUGAAUCCACAUGGUGAUCACAUAAAUACAUAUAAUAUGAUUAAAUGGACUUUAAUACAAAUAUUAAUGCAAUUAAGAUAUUUGAAUAAAAUACCUCAUUUAUUUUAUUAAUCAGAAAAAUUAUUUAUUACAAUUAAAUAAACACAUAUGCUUUUAAAGAGCAUAUUUUCCCAACAUAUACUUCUUCUUGUCCAUUGACUUUGGUUUUGUUAAAGCAGCCUGAGUGCACUAACAAGCGCAUGAGCCUGAAUAGGCUAGUCGUUUUUGUAGGCUGAAUAUCAAGUGCCGAGACCAACUCAGAAAGAGUGAUGGCCCGUCCGUGGCUGUGAAUUAUAUCCGCUAUGCCCAGCUCAAUCGCGCACUUGAGUGACGUCGAGCUUAAAUGACUAAACAUGAGCUUAUAUAGUUGAGCUUGGCCUUGAAACAACUCUUUUGCUCCUUGAUCUUGAUUCGCAUCCAUAGAUACUGAUGAUCAUUUAAAUUAAGCUUGCCUGAUUGAUCACACACUAUAAUGGAGAAGCACAUUAUAUAUAAUGACGCUUGCUCGCAAAUGUGGACUAAGAAGUUGUUUGUUAAAUAUUUGAAGUCUGAAAUUUUAUUAAUUUCAGACUUUUUCUAAAAUAUACUUGUUUUUUUUUUAAACUUAUGUCUGAUUUUUAGACAUUUACAUCUUAAUAGAAAAAGUAAACUUUUGUAACUUUUAUCUAAAUGAAAAAAAAGGUAUGAAUGACAAGUAAAUAUUAUAUUCUAAAAAUAUCUCUGUAAAAUAAUUUAUUUCUUAAACUACAAAAUCUAAUCCUUUUUUUGUUUUAAUUUACAAGGACAUAAAUGUCAAAUAACUAAAUUUAAGAUGUUUUUUAUUGUGAAAAUAAAUAAGAUACCACUUAUAUUUAGAUAUUUAAAAAUGAAAAAAAAAUGUCAUUCAUUUUUUCAUAAUCAAACUCAUUCAGACUUUAGAAAAAUUCAGACCCAUUUAGAUUUCAGAUAAAAAAACAAAUGCUACCUAACUGUAUGCAAGCAUCUUUAACUCCUCAUAUGAAUAUUUGCAAAUGCGAUUAGAUAUAAUCUAACAAGUUACAAUCUAACAACAUUGUUAACUAAAGGAGUAAGAAUUUACCUUCACACGUACUUUUGAUUUGUGGAGAACUUGUGACACGUGUUGAACUCGAAUCUGGUGUGGUGGGUACCUGAAAAAGGCACUCCGACGCCCAAGUCAGUGUUUGAUUUUAAGGUCUAAUGGAAGCAAGAACAAUAAACAAGAUUAGGGUUUUUUUGGCUUAGGAGAGAUCCACUUUUCUUGGUGAGAUGGUCCCUAUUUAUAGUUGAUGGAUGACAUGGGUCUAGGGUUUUGCCUUGGUCUCUCUCCUUGAUGACACGUGCCACCAACUAUUAUUGCACACGUGGACGUGAACUUGUUCCUAGGGAAAUAAAUAUAUUUAUCCCGGACCCGCCCAUGUGCUUCCCUACUCCUAUGAUCUUGGGCGUGGUUCCCUCAGACCCCGAAAUCUCGGAAUUAGUCAUGGUUCCCUCAGACCCCGGAAUCCCAAAAUUAGAAUGAUUUUUUACUCUUACUUAUUAUCGUAAGUGCUAGGAGAAUUUUGUUCUCGUGUUACUUUAUUCGGAAUAGAUUGGAUAUAAUUUAUUUACUUGUUUGAUUUUUCGGGAUAGUUUCUUUCUUUCUUUUUUAUUUGGACACUUGGCGUAAUUUUUGUGCCUUUAAAUUAUGGUACACACAUUAACUUUGAUUUCGUAAUGAUUUUGUAAUGAUGCAUGCGCAUGAGAAAAGGACAGUAAGAUACAUUUACUGAUCAAUGAUUCAAUAAUUAUAACACCAUGAUUGGCAGGGUGUGAUCUAUAUACAGGCACAUUUUAUGUAUUCAAUGUGCUGGUCAUUUUUUCAAAAUUUUAAGACAUUAAUUUGAGUCAAAAUAAUUGCACUCGGAGCACGGAGGUAGAGUUUUCAAUUAAUUUUAUUUUGUUGGCUAUUCAAAUUUAAAUUUGACAAAAGUUAGAGAGUUAAAAGAUUAAUUUGAAAUCAUUUACCUCUAUCUUUUAAAAAAUAAAAUUCGAAAAGGUGGCAGAGAUUUUUCACAUCAAUAUUUUACCAUUUAUUCAUCGGUUGGCUGACAAUACCAAUGUAUAAGAAAAAAAGAUAGUAAAAAAUAGUAUGCCAUCACUAAAAAAAAUAAAAAGUUUCGUUACAAGAAAAGAAUUCACCACAGCACAAGAUUUUAUUUUAUUUUAUGCUUUUGUAUUAAAUUUUGUGCUAUUUUAAAUACAUGCAGCAUUAUUCAUUCACUAAACGCAUAUAAAAUUUCCAAAUUAACCAUCUUUAUUAAAAUUUAUCUUUAAAUUCUUUCUACCGCCAACACUUAGCCAGCACUGUUCUUAUUGCAAACUAUAGCGUAUCUUUUGACAGCUUCAAAAAGAUAAGAAAAGAUAAGAAAUUUAUAGCUUGUGCCCACCAAAAUCUCUUAGUCCAUGGAGUUGUUGAAAUUUUGACUUGAGUAGAAAAGACAAAGUUAGGUUUUGAAAGCAUGAAAAAGGUUUUGAAAAUCUUGUUCAUGCAAUUCGGUGUUGUUGAAAAUUGAAGGGUGAUGUUGAAAAUUGAAGAUGGCAACAAAUUACACAUGCAAUUGUUGACAAAUAUGCAUGACUUUAACGCAUGCAAUGCAAGUUCCAGCUCAACGUUUUGGCCAAUUGAACCCAACUUGGUGCAAAAUGCUCUCUAUAAAUAUAGAAGCAUUUUGCAAUUGUAAGCAUCCCAAUUUGAGAGAAGUAGAGAGAAAUUGCAAGUGAAGCGAUUUAAGAGAUUUGAGAGAGCUUCAACUUGAGUGUUCCAGUGAGGUUCCAUUUGAGUGUAUUGGGGUUUGGGGUGUUGAGAGUUUCUCCCACUUUUGUAAAUUCCUAUUAUUAGUAAAAUUAUUUUCCAGUGUUUGGCCAUGGACAUAGGCCUUACGCCGAACCACGUAAAUUAUUGUGUCCUAUUUUCUUUGCAUUUGUUUACGCUACAUUUAUAUUUCUCCAAAAGUCGCAGCUACCAGAAUAUUAGUAAUUGCUCAACCCCACAUUUCCGUAACAGGAGUUAAUACUGAACACGUAGAAUUUUUUUCAUUAAAUUUUGUGCUAUUUUAAAUUUGCAGCCUUUUUCAUUCACUAAACGUAUAUCAAAAUUUCCAAAUUAGGCAUUUUCAUUAAAAUUUAUGUCUAAGUUCUUUCUACCAACAAAACUCAACCUACAUUGUUCUUAUUGCAAACUAUAGUCUAUCUUUUGAUAGCUUCAAAAUGAUAAGUGUUGAUAUCCGUACAUAUUCAACAUACAGUUAAUAGGAUAUCCAAAAACAUACAUUUUGAUACUUGAAUGCGGAAGCAGAUCACAAUAAGGUAUAUCACUGUCAAGUUGAUGAGAGACAAAGGAUAAUUUCAAAGAAAACCAUCACGCUAUUGUAUGUUUAUGGUCGGAGGAUAAUUAUAAUAAAACAAAAUCCCCUCAUAUCACAUUGCCAGAGCCCACUGCCAUUUUCUCUCGUUUUCAAUCCCUGUGUUUUCUAAUAUCUUCUUCAUAUUUUUCAUUCUUUCACACCCUUAUCACAUGACACGGCUUGCCCCGACCUAUAUGUCAAAUCCGAGGCGAAUCAUACGAUCUAAUAACUAAAACUCGCGGCACAAAUUUAAUUCAUGAAUAUAUAAAAAUGGUCUCCACUAUAAACACAUAACAACCUCUAUACCUCAUCCGAAAAUAUAUAUUCAAAACGUACACAGUUCAUAUCUCACUAUAUAUACUUACCCUACAAAUAUAUAUACAUAAAAACAUAAGUAACAUAAACGUGCUAAAAAUGCAAGUCAUGCGGCAAUACGUCUCGUGGCCCAACUUUAAUUGACUCGAAUUGAUCAGCGCGAAAUCUUGCGAAAUCCUGGCUGAAAAGGGAUAAAUAGGAAAAUAAUGAGCUUGUGGCUAUAUAUAUAUAUAUAUAUAUAUAUAUAUAUAUAUAUAUAUAUAUAUAUAUAUGUUUCAGUCAUGAAUUUUAAAGUACCUGAAAGUACGGGAAAUCUUUAAAACCGCAUGGUUUUAAAGGCAUAAAACUGUAGGUCUUUAAAGCCAUGUGAUUUUAACGCUUUUCCGGACUUUCCCGUACUUUAAAAUCCCUGACCAAAACACUACUUUAUAUAUAUAUAUAUAUAUAUAUAUAUGUAUGUAUGUAUGUAUAUAUAUGUAUAUGUAUGUAUAUAUAUGUACAGUCGUUCUCUCACGCGGACACCAGCAACUUCAAAAAAAUGUGGGUGCUCACCUUUCGGCCAUUGGAUCCCAUCAACGGCUGGAUUAAAUUGUGAAAGUAAAAGCAAUUCCGACAUUUUCUCUUGUGUAGACCCCUCUUCAAAACUUUGGAAAAAAAGUUAUUUCUUUUAUUUAAUGGGGACCAUGAUAACUAGUUUUUAAUUUCUCUCUCUUCUCCCAACUCUAUCGUCCCACACCCAAGAAGCCAAAUCGUUGGAUCAUCUUCAUCAUCAACAGCGACGUGGCCGGAGAUGACGUGUCCAACAUGUUACUCUUCUAAUAUUCCUUAGAUGUGGCUUAAAUGCCUCAUUUUGCUCUUCUUUCAUGAACUUUGAAAUUUCUUAAGAAUGUCCUGGCCUGUGUUUUUUCUUCUUCAAUUUCCGUAAUUUUUUUUUUUGAGAAAAUCUUCUGUUAUAGAUACCUUUCAGCUUGAUUAUUUAGAUGGGUCGUUAAUUUUUUUUUUUUUUUUGGGUAACUUACUGAAGUGUGUUUUUCUUCUUUUGCUUCAUCUUCUUCGAUCGGAAGGAUAAUUUUGAUGAUGGAAAGAUGGAGAAGCAAAAAUGGUGAUGAUGAUAACUGUAUAUUUAUCUUUGAAAAUUGAAAAAUAAAAAUCAGCAAGUUUUAGUUUUGGGGGAGAAAAAAAGGAAAGGAAUUAAAAAAAUCUACAUUCAAUUUUCAUAUGUGCGUGAGUGAGAGUACUGCCAAAUCUCCUUAGAUGGAGAUAGGAGAAGAGAAAAACAAAAAAAUUUUAAGUUACCAAUCAAACUUCACCAGUGGGGUCAUAAACUCAGCUUCUAUGGGCAGUAUCUAAAUUUUAAGUUAACAGCACUGACGAUAUUAUUCGAGAAGUGGUGGUCCUGCUCUAGUUCUGGUUCAUGGUUUCGGAGCAAACAGGUCUAGAUCGUUGAUAUUUCGCUUCUCAUUAGCAGACAACUAAUUGCUAUAGGUAUUAAUUGCGGAUUGCUCUUUGGUGUGGGAAGAUGGAGUUGGGAGAAGAGAGAGAAAUUAAAAACUAGUAUAUCAUGGUCCCCAUUAAAUGGGAAACCUGUGGUGCAACUGUGGUACCGUGCCAUAGUUGCAUCCAACUGUUGAAUGUCAGUGAACCCCAGCAAUUCAAGUGCAUCCAACGGCUAAAUGCAACUGUGGCACGAUACCACAGUUGCACCGUAGCCUGAUCCCCAUUAAAUAAAAGAAAUAAUUUUUUUUCCAAAGUUUUGAAGACAGACCCACACAAGAGAAAAUGUCGAAGUUGCUUUUAUUUUCACAAUUUAAUCCAGCCGUUGAUGGGAUCCAACGGCCGAAAUGUGAGCACCCGCAUUUUUUUGAAGUUGCGGGUGUCCGCGUGAGAGAACGACUAUAUAUAUAUAUAUAAUAAUAAUAAUAAUAAUAAUAAUAAUAAUAAUAAUAAUAAUAAAAGAAGUAAUGCAUCUGUAAACAUGGGAAAUAAUACAUACAUGACAAAACUGCACCUAAUAAUACCCAAGGAAAUAACUCUCAAUAUUUACUGGGAUCAUCAUCGCAUGAGUAGAGUCGGGCAAAAACCUCUCAAAACCCGAUGGAAUUUAACUACAUUGCAAGGGUAGAGUAACCUAACUCUCAAUAUGCAUGCACAUAGUUUAUAAAAGCAAGUCAUAUUUUAUGACUUAAUCAAAUAUAUAAUAUUUGUACAUGUAAUCAUAACAUUAUAUUAAAUCAUACUACUAAACAUAAAUGUUUCAUGAAACACAUAAUAGUAAUAAUAGUAUCCCCACAGAGCUUGUUUCACUCCGGGUUCGUUGGGGGCUCGUGUGGGUUCUUAGAUUCUUGGAUUUCUCCUAAAAUAUAGGAUUAAAAAUUAACUGCUAGAACUAAUAUAAAAACUUGUAUGUAUAAGGCAAAUUAAAUCACAACUACUUAAAUUUCAUAAAUAUAUUACCCACUAACUCACUUAAUGUAGAUCUAACUAUCUAAUUCUAUUUCCCCUAAUAUUUUUUCUCCUUUUCCUUUCUUUUUCUCUUUUCCCACAUUCAGCUUCUUUCUUAUUUUUCUUAUUUUCCUUUUCUUCUCUUUUCUCUUUUCCACUUUCUUAUUUCUCUUCCAUUUUCCUUUGUUUGCUCUCAUUUCUCAAAUUUGGUAAAUGAAGCAAUUGUAAAAAAAAAAAUUUCAUUUUGUAUAGCCACCGAAUGGCCAUCGAAUGUAAGCAAGCAGCUCUCAAUUUUUAAAUAUAUAUAAGCAUAGCUUGAAGAAAUCAAGCAUAUAGCUGGCUGCUUCGGAAUCAUUGCACGUGUGCAGAAUCAUAGUCAUCUAUUUUAGAUACAAUAGGUAAUUAGGUAUGUUUAUAUGGGAGCUAAUAAGAGUGAUUGAAGUCAAUCAAAAGACUUCAUAACUCUCAAAGCUAAUUAGACUUGCAAUAGUCAUAUUAAACUCUAUAUAAAAUAAGCUUUUACAUGUUUCUUUUCUUGGGCCUAUCUAGCCCAUCAUGGCAUCAAUUCGAAUAUCUCCCACUUGCAUGUGAUGGGAUAACACCAUAGACAGAGAAUUGAAAGUAAGUUACCCCGAAGCCUUAAAUGUAUCUCUUGGUCCUCCGAAAAGCAACCUACAGUAUCUAGACCCAAUGGAGAGGUUGAAUAUAAGGCACUUGCUUUGACAGCAACUGAGCUAACAUGGAUCACAUAUCUCUUUCCUGAAAUAAGGAUUUCUCUUGCUCAACGUCCUCAAUUGCUUAGUGAUAAUUUAAGUGCUUUAUACAUGACUAUUAAUCUUGUCUUCCAUUCUCGCUUCAAGCAUAUAGAGGCUGAUUAUCACUUUCUUCGAGAAAAGGUUGCAGAAGGUCUGAUGGUGAAAAAAUUAGUCCCUUCGAUGGUGACAAAACUAGUUCCUUCUUCCUUGGAAAUUGUCGAUGUAUUCACCGCUCUCUCGAAAGUCAUGUUUGGCAAUUUCUGACAGAACCGUAGAAUCCAUAUCGUAUGUCACUUGCCAACUUGAAGGGGACUAAUAAGCAAGCUGUAAAUGGUCAACAAAAGAAAAUUCACCAACGGUUAAAACACACAGCAUAGCUUGCACAAGUCAAGGCUAUCAUUGAAUUUCACUAUCAAGAAUUUAGAAUAUCAUGUAUCUUUAAAAAGGAAGUAUUUCAUUACAUAUUUUGUAGUUUAGGAAACCAGAUUAUGUACUCCAGCUGUAUUUCUGUAGUUAUGUAAUUAAAUCUCUUAUAGCUAGCUAUUUCAUUAUGUACAUAACUUUUGUAAAUUCACACUUUGUAAACAAUCAAAGUCAGAAUACGAGUUAUUAUUAUUAUUUUUUCAAUAAUACGAGUUGUAUUAUUUGCGAGUGCUAAUUAUCUAAACCCCUCCCUUGUGUUCCAAGCCAAUUCCUUAUCCACAAAUGUCAAUUCUAAAGCGAAGGUACUAAGUUCUUUUUCAGGACUUAUUUUCACCAAAAAAAAACCUGAACUCGGUUUUCUUGGAAACAUCUCUAUCAGUAGAAAUGAUACCUCUAAUGGAUUAAUAAUCAUCAGACGAUACUUUUCAGGGAUAUCAUAAUGUUAAUCUUGCUAGUAAUUUAUUUAUCGUUGAUUUAAUUGGUCAAUGCAUCAACACCUAAGCUGAGCUGGACAUAGUUUCUAAAUAUCAGCCAUCGGAGACACUGAGACUAUAUGCAAAUGCAUAUUUUAUUAUAGUUGAAACCCAGAUGACUUUGUCUCAGAAUAAAAAUUUGAACGAUACCUCCAUUAUUGUGGCAGUAAUUACUUCAUAUGCAUUUAGGAGUUGUUGUAAGUAGUUGAGUGCUUCAGUGAACUUUAAAAUCCAACCUCAAAUUCACCCACUUAAGGCUCAUGCAUCUUGAUCAUAAUUCCAGCCGCAUACCCAACAACAUUCCAAAUCAUACGUAACAACCCACCAUCUUCCAACAGCGCUCUAAAUCCAGCGAUAUACACAACAACACUCUGACCUAUACCCAGCAACCCAAUCUACACCAAAAUCAAUCAAAAUACCUAAUAUUAUCAAAUGCAUAACAUCUAUACUGCAAUCCUUAACAACAACCAUUAUAGUUUAACACUACAACUUUAAUUUCAACAAAUUGUAACAACUAAUAACAAGGUCCAUCUACAGUUUCAUACUCAUACUAACUAUUUUGCAAAUGCGAUAAGGAUGUGGAAAAAAUGGUUAGCCCAUUCCAAAAGAACCUCACUAAGUUCAUCCUGAGUGUAUUCCUUCUUUGCAUUAAAGUGUUAAUCACAAGAUUAAUAUUGUCAAACUUCAAAAAUAAUGCCACAGAUAUUGUAUAAAAGCAAGUUGAGACAUAUACUAGUCAAGAAUUUUUAAAAUCAUCCUGCUUUCAUGCUUUUGUUCUUCAGGCUUGAAUUGUACAAAAUCCUGCAUAACUCCUUCCAAUUUCUUAGUUUUUAUCCCGAGAGCGACCAAAAUGUGCAUUUGCUCACCUAAACUUCCAGCCUCAACAUAAACUUUUUUCACUUUAGUCUAGUAACACUUGCCAAAUUUAUCAAACUCAUCAUCAAGCCUCCUAAAAAAAUACUGCUGUUAUUCCCCUCUUUUCUCCACAAUCCUAAAAAAUGUUUUCAAAACAAAAUAGUCCAAAAAAUUGCUAGGAGCUGUUUUGACUUUAGAACACAGGAAAAAGCCCCUAAAAAUCUACAAAGGCUGUCUUGCUGUCGUUCUAUAGUGAAAAUAGCCCCAGCAAUUUACCAAGGGCUGUUUUUACUGUAGAAAAGCCAACAAAAAAAAAAAAAAACCCCUAUAAACUUUCAUCAGCUAUUUUGACAACAAAUCUAUAGCAAAAUUGCUAAAGUUUGCACUAAAUUCUCAAUUGAUACUUUUAGAAGAAUUAGAAAAGAAAAUAAUGUUAUCUAUGAUAGACACCAUUGUCGAAGUCAUAGCAAAUAGCCUGCAGAUUAGUAAUAAUAAUAGCAUUUACAUCAGUUUAUUAAAUUGCUUUUAUUUUUAUUUUUUUCACAGAUAAGUAAAUAAAAUAAAUAAUUAAUUUGCAUAUAUGUGAAUUAUCUAACUAACAAAGAAAUGUAGGCUAAAAUAACUAUAUGCAUUAAAGAAAAAGAAAUUAUCCAGAAUUAGAAACAUUACCUUUCCCAUAAUAAUUAGUUCCCUUGGCAGAGUGAAUACAUUUUUUUUUUUUUUGCAAGAGAUAAAUACUUCACAGGUCCAUGGAAGCCUAGAAUCUAUCAAUGAAAUUACAACUUCUAACAAGAGAGUUGGUAGCAUGUUCGAUUCUUUUUAAAUCACUAAAAGUUUAUUUUUAAAUUCCUUUUUGUCCAAUAAAUAAUCGGAUAAGCAGCAUUGAAUUGCAAUUCAACUUUCAGAAAAAUCUGCAUCAUAAAAGGCUGGAAAAGUUAUAAGAUGCAAAGUUUCUUAUAUUAUGGCACAUUAUUUCUCAGUAACUGACUCCUACCUAUUUCAUGAUUAUUAAUAUUAUUAUUUAUUGGGUUGAUCACUUGAUUGUUGGGUCAUCCAUGUGUAUACAGUUGCAAUCUCUAGAAUCUCAGGGAAGCCACUAGUAAUAAUUAAGUCAAUAGAGUGAAUAAUUAAGCAAAUGAACUUAAGAAAAAAAAGAGUAGGUUGAUCAAUUGAAUUACCUAAUGGCUUCGUGUCCGAAAAUCACAGGCAAAUGUAAUUUAGGUGGCUAAAAAAACAUAAUGAUCAUAAUGUGAUCAAAUGAAAAGACAAGUUAGAGUUCAUUUUUGUAAGUAAACCUUAUAUUGAGAGUUAACAGAUUUAAAUUUAGUUAAUUAGUUAAAUUACCUAGGUUAAUGAUUUCUAGAAUGCAACAUCACUGUGGUAGAAGGAUGUGAUAGAAUCUUGAUCCAAACCUCACAAGCCACCACCAACAACAUAUUACUUGUCAUUACCUGUAUCUAUCUGCUUACCUCUCUCUUCUAGCCGCUUCACUUUCGCUGGAAUUGAAGCCAAGAAUCAACACCAGCUCUUUCAUAAUUUUCGAUCAAACUCUCGUGAAUUGAAGAGAACCACUAGGAAGACAUCGACUCUGUGGCCUCUUGGUGGGAUUUGAAAGUCAACUCUUUUACUUAGGUUAAUAGGCUGUGAAUGUAGGAAGAUUAUUUAAUCGUGAGUGAGGGUUUGAGCUUCUAGGGUUUCAAUUUCUUUGGUUUGGAGAGGUGUACUUUUUGUAGCAUUUUGAUAAAACUCACAGUUCAAUUCCUUCAUUUACUUUUUCAUAUAAUUUAAAUUAUCAAUGAAAUUAUAAUACACUUUUUUUCUUUUUCUUUUAAUAAAAUAUUAAAUCAAAAUUUUGGUCAAACAUGGUCAAAUUUAUAUUUUUAUCACAAUUUCUUGAUAGAAAAAAAUUCUAUCACUAUUCUAUCAUAAAUUCUUUAUAGACAAUAAUUCUAUCACAAAACCAUCAUCGAUUUAUGACAGACCAAAAUUCUAUCACGAUUCGUUCAUACUAUAAUGAUAUAAGACAAUUUGCCCAAAAUACGUCACAAAUUGUCAGUCAUCUAUCCUCUUCUUAUGUGGUGGGAAAAUUUGCCCACCAAAUGUAGAAUUCAUGGAUUUCAAACAAUCACAACGCAUGAACUAUAUGCAGACACACGCGUAAUGUACCAACAUGGAAAAGAUCAACACAUCAACUCAAUCCAGCAUCAACAAGGAAAGUAACAAACCUUUGGAAACAAAUAUGGCAAUUUGUAUUGCUCUUACCAAAGGCUUGCAAUGGAAUCAUCUCACAUAAUCCCGUGACAUGCAGACUCACCAAAAAAUGGAUAGCCAACUACCAUGCAAGUCUAGAUUUUCUUCAUAACAUAACCAACGGCUAGUGAAUGUCCAAAUAUUUCUUCCAUAUAUAAUUCCUCAACUCCUGUAUAAAUACAUAAUCCUUCUUGUACAUUAAGAAAAUACAUCAAAAGCAUUCAGUCAUUCAUAAUGUUAGGAAAGGGACCCACACAAAUAGUUGCAAAUAAAGUAAAAACAAACUAUUUUCCUCUUUGUGUGAUUAAAAGUUGAUGUGUACUACGAAUUAAUACACAAAAAAAAACCAACACAAUUCAAAGCAAUAAAUCAACCGCAACACACAUAUUUUUACAAAGAAAACCCAAAUCGGGAAAUAUUAUAGGAUUGUGGUUUGAUAUAACCUCCCACUAUAUAAAUAAUGGGACUAGAACAUAAAUUCUUCUCUAGAUAACACUUGAGGUUAACAACAUCAAGAAUCUUAAUAAUCUUGACUUACAACAACACUCUAAUAUAUGUCUCUCUUAUAAAUAGUGUAUGAAUAUUUUUUCUUUAGAACAAAAUAGAUUUAUUUAUAUUAACCAUUGUUUCUCUAAUGGUUGGGAAUUGGCAGCUAAUUUUUUCUCCCUUUUCGAUGUAUGCAGAUUUGCUCAAUGUGUUUGAAGUGUUUAUUCCUCAACUUCACUUGUAUCAUAACCCAUUCAGUCUAUUGAAUGGAGAAGCUGCUAGUGUGAUAAUGCAAUUAUACUACUCAUAUUCAAAGAGUGAAAGAUAGUCAUCAUUCUCAAUUUAACUUCUAGAUUUAUUAAAUUUAGCCACAAGUAGUAGGCAUUUGAUUGGAUGGUAAAAUUUUUUGAUGUAUUGAAUUUGGAUUAUUUAGUUAUGAGAGUAGGAUAUCUCAUAUUUUGGCUAUUGAAGUUCAAUUUGUAAUAUAUACUAAUAAUAUUUAAAUGUGAAAUGAAAGAUUUUGUGAUAUAAAUCAAUUUAUUUUUGUUAUUUUGUGGUGCUUUUAAUUUUACAAAUAAAUCAAUAGGCAAUUAUCCAAUUUAAUUUUUUAUUUAUUUUUAAAUAAAUUAACUAGUGAUACCAUGGUAAUCAUAGACACUAAUAAAAUAUCAAUAACUACUAACACUAUGGUGUCAUAAUAUCGGUGAUACUGUAGUAAUAGUAAUCACUGACACCACUUACAAGUGUCACUAUUUUUCUGACUCCCAGAUUACUGACACAAUUAACAAGUGUCAGUGAAAGUAAUUUCUGACACUAUUCUAAAGUCAGUAAAGACCAUUUUUCUAGUAGUGCUUCAAUAACAACCUUCGUGGAAGAGGAAAUUUUCCCUUUAACAGUGGGCAUAACAACAUUAAUCAAUCUUUCAACAUGAAUCAAUUACCCUCUAACAACUCUUUGUUGUAGCUAAAGUUCAACAAUAAUGGUCCAAUCUGCCACCUACACCAAAACAUUACUACACAGAAAGUGAUAAGUGGAAACAUAAUUCUAAAUUAGGUAUAAUACGUAAAAUUUAUGGCAAGCCUAACCAUAAUGCUACUGCUUAUAAACAAAGGUACUACUACUUUACUCUUUAAAAGGUAGUACCACAAGCCCUUGUGGCCAUGAAUCCGCAUGAUGAGAACGACCCACAACUUUAUCCUGCUUUAGGUGAUACAAUGCAUGGGAAAUCAAACUUCAAAAUUUUUUUUGCUUGUUUUCAAACUUAAAGAGAACCUCUUGUUAGUCAACAAACUUAUAGAUGAUAUAAAUUGUUCAGUGGAAUUUCACUCUUUUGACUUUGUUGUAGAAAAUAAAGAGAACCUCUAUCAUUUUCCAACAAGACCUUUAACAAUCUGGAAUCAUCAAACAUACUUCAUGUCUUUAUACUCCUUAACAAAAUAGAGCUGCUGAAAGGAAACAUAGACAUAUAAUAAAGACUACCUUUACAAUGUCAUCUGAAUCUUUGUUACUAUUUGAGCAUUUGAUAGAGGUUGUUUCAACAAUCGCAUAUCUCAUAGAUAAAAUGCCACAAAGGAUUAUUAAGAUGCAAAUGCCUCAUGAGUUACUUUUCAAGGAAACUCCUAUUUAUAAUAAAAUUAGAAUUUUUAGUUGUCUCUUUAAAUGACUACAACAAAAUCAAAUUUGACAAAAAGACUCUUCCUUGUAUUUUUGUAGGUUAUAGCCCCACUCACAAGGGACACAGCUGUCUUUUUCUUAAAAACAAUUGAAUUUAUAUCUCUCGUCAUUUAAUCCUUGGUGAGUUAUGUUUCCCUUAUCAAAACUAAAAGAUUAUUCUCCUAUGUAAAAUGCUUGUAGGGUUCCCAUUACCUUAGAUGUGCCACAAUGGCUCCUAAAAACUUUAACAGAGUCGUUCAAUAACAAUUCUCUUGGGCACACUAAAGUUAAUAAUCUAAAACACACUACCACACCUUCAAAUAGGAAUGAAUCAUUAUUUCGCACUCCAAGUCUUUUGGACAAAACUGUGAUAAUUGAAAACCUUCAUAAACCUCCCACCUCUUGACUUGGACAUCCCAUUAUAAAUUCACCUCAAAAGAGCUCCUCAUCUAAUAACACAGACUUCUAAUGAUAAUACAAACAUAAACAUGACUUCACAAUGAACUUAAAAAAAAGUGACAACCAUAACUCAUGUGCCUUGAACAAUCUCUUAGGAAAGUUAUUUGUUGAACUAAACAUAUCUCCUGCCAAAACAAUAGAGUCUUUCCUAUAUUAACAAUCAACAAGCUCAAACAAGAUCUUGUCUUUGUCCUUUAAACCAAUCAUGCUACUAUAAUUGAACCAAACCUCAUCUAUGGUUGCAAGCGAUAGCCGAUGAACUUGCUGCCUUCUAUCAAAAUAAGACAUAGACCUUAGUUCCUUUACCUGAUGCUAAUUUAGUUAGUUCAAAGCGGGUUUAUAAAACCAAACAUCGAGAAGAUUGAUACAGUGGAUCGGUUAAAAGCCCUUUUAUUCAUAAAGGGAUAUACACAAGUUAUUGGCAUUGACUUCGACAAGACUUUCGGCCCUGUCAUUAAGCCAACUACUAUACAACUUGUCUUAGCCCUCGUAAUUAGUUCCAAAUGGCUUAUCAAACAACUAGAUAUUCAAAAUGCCUUCUUACAUAGUCAAGUAAAAGGAAACUGCCAACAUGGACCGGCCACCCAGCUUUAUGAAUCAAAAUCUACCUGACCAUGUUUGCUUGCUUCACAAGCCCUUAUAUUGACUCAAACAAACCUCAAAUGCUUAGUUUGAGUGUUUAUCAUUAGCAUUUUUAGGUCUUGGAUUUAUAAUUUACAAAGCUGAUUUUCCCUCUUUAUUUUUUAUGCUAACAAUAUUAUGAUUUGCUUUUGGUUUAUGUUGAUGAUGUAAUUAUCACAAGAAAUAAUCUCGAAAGAAUUCAAUCCAUUAUCAACCAACUCAGAACUCUGUUUGUAUUAAAAGACUUAAGCUUAUUGAGCUACUUUUUAGGAAUUGAAAUUUGGUGCUUUACAAGGGAUAUUUUUUAUCCUAAGCCAAAUACAUGCAUGACUUGUUAACCAAGUCUGCUUUACCUAAUUGUAUCCUUAAUCAGACCCUUAUGGUUGUCAAAAGCUAACCAUAAGAUGAUGAUUAAAAACCCAUAUGUGCCACAAAUUACCAUACCUUUGUGGGCAACCUACAAUAUCUCAUAUUCACUAGGCUAGACGUUAUUCAUGUUGUCAAGAAAGCUUGUUAACACUUCCAAAGCCCUACUAAACAAGACCUUAAAGUUGUUACAAAAAUCCUACGCUAUCUCAAAGGCACUCUCAACUUCGGACUUCGAUUUCUUUGAGCAAAACUCUAAUCAAUCAAAGCUUUUUCGAACUCUAAUUGCAUUGGUUGCUUUGAAAUAAUUUUUGGCAAAUUAAGGGCUUGGGCCAAGCUUGAACUGAGCCUUUUAAAGCCUAGGCCCAGGCCCAACUUGUUGAGAAUAAGCUCAUGCCAUUCAAAAGCCCAUCCAAACUUAGACUGGGCAAGCUUGGGCCUUCAUUAUUUUUUAAAUAAAUUUUUAAUAAAGUAAAAAAUUUAAAUUAAAGAUAAUUAUUCUAUGCAUAAUAGAAUAAUAGUCAAAUAUUUAAAAUAUUAGAAACACAACAAAAUAGAUAAUAAAUGCUUAUUAAUAUAAUAUUUGAGUUUUUAAUUUGAUAUUUUUUAUUCAUAAAUUAAAAAGUCCGGGCUUGAUAUUAGUAACACAACAUACUAAAUCACAAAUACUAAUACGGGUGGGUAUAAACCCACAAUUCAUGGGUUUACCAAACCCAAACCAAAUUAAAUGGUUUGAGUUGGGUAAAUUAUGAAAAUGGGUUAAAUGUGGGUUUUAUAUAAAAAAUCAUUUCAUUAUGGGUUGGGUAUGGUUUACCCAUGGGUCAUGAACAAAACCCCAACACUCAAACUUGUCAAAUGAAAUAAAUGAAAACAAAAACAAAUAAGUGAAAGGUUAUUGUUAAAUUGUUCACAUCGUGAUCAAUUAUUAACAGUUAGAAAAGGAAAACAACAUGUAAAAAUAAAUCUGAAUUAAAUAAAUGCUAUUGUAAAUAAUUAAAUGAGAUGAAAUUAGUGUUUGAUGAAAUGAAAUCAUUUUUUUUUUAAUUUAUGAACUCAUAUUAUACUUACUUAAUUACCGCUUUUAUGUUUCUAACAAUAAUAAGAAAAACACCAAAUCUAUAUUGUUGUUUUCGUAUUUAAAUUAAGGAAAAUUAUAGUAAUAAUGUUGAGAUGGUUUUUGAGGGCAUAGUUUCCUAGCCCAUUGGAAGGAAAUAAUUAAUAAUUAUGAGAAAUAAUAUUUCGCCACUGAUAAAAUAUUAUUGUGACAGAAAUUAUGAAUCCUUAUUAUAAAUAAAAUUAACAUUUGUGUGCUAUAUUGAUAUUGUACUGCUGAACACAAUUUAUAUACAUAUUUUACCGUUUAUUAUCUAAUUACUAGUUAUUUUUAUUUGUUAUUUUUAAUUAAUUGAAUUAUUUUAUUGCAUAGGGAAUUAAUUGGAGAUUGGAAAUAAAAAGUGCAAAAAGAAUAACAAUUUGGGAGAAUAUUAGUAGAAGCCGUGACAGAGUUAAGAGCCAAGAGCAAUUUGCAUUGAAUUUCAAUUCUCCAAUUGAGUUGCACGUGCAUGGCAUUGCAAAAGUGGAAAGCAAUUUAAAUGGGGCCCACACUUGACUUUCAAAAGUGGAAUUAAUGGCUUAUGGUGGCGUUAUUAUGGAAGCUUUGUUUUAUAAUUGGAAAAGGAUUUUAAUUGGUAUACAAAGAGGAUUCGGUGGCUAAGCAUUAUAAAAAGAGAGUUUUGGCUUUAGAAUAGGGGGGAGCCGCCAGAGGACAAAAACAAAAGUGCAGAGCUGCAGACACAAGACGCAAGGCUGGGUAGCAGCAGCAGUUCGGCUUCCAUGAGUGAUUUUAUUUAUUUUGUUGCUCCCAAUUCAAGUAUGUCUAGCUAAUUUUCUUAUACUGAGGUUAAGAAUGAAACCCUAUUCAAUGAAAUAAUUAUCUUUUUAUUUAUUUAAUUCCCUAUAUAUAUUCUUUAAUAAUUAUGGUUUUUAUUUCACAUGAUUAAUUGAAUGUUAUUAAAAUCUUUUCAUCAAUUCUGUCAUGCAUUAUUGAUUGUUAGGAUUAAUAUUUGAUUAAAUCUAUGCUUGGAUUUAUAAAGUUUAUACAUGAUUAUCUUUGAUUCUAUGUCUUUCGUUAAAUUGUUUACAUAGAGUGCUUAGGAAACUUUGACUCUUUGUUAUUCAAUAUGUUUACAUGGGAUGCUUAGAUGUCAUACUAUUAAGCAGAAAAAGAACCUACAUUAGAUUUAACUACUUGGGUUUAAUUGUUAUAUCCAUAAGAUGACAUAGAUUGAUUUCGAGUUUGGAAGAGUUUUGAUCACAUUUAUGAGUCAUUUUAUAGCGAUCCCCGUAAUGUUCUAUUGGGCUUAGCUACUGAUGGCCUCAAUCCUUUUGAAAAUAUGAAUUUUGGAUACAGCUGUUGGCUUGUUCUUUUAUUUCCAUACAAUCUUCCACAUUGGAUGUGUAUGAAAGAGCCGUAUAUGUUCAUGUCUUUCCUUAUCCCAGGCCCAAAAGGCCCAGGUAAUGAUAUUGAUGUGUACUUGAGGCCAUUAAUUGAUGAGUUGAAUGAGUUGUGUGAAAAUGGAGUGAAUACUUAUGAUGUUUCCACACGUUUAAAUUUUCAAUUGAAAGCGGUUGUUAUGUGGACAAUUAAUGACUUUCCUGCAUAUGAUCUUACAUCUGGUUGAAUCACAAAAGGAAAGUUGGCUUGCCCAUGUUGUGCUAAGAAGACUGCUCAUUGUAGAUUAUAUCACAAUUCAAAAAUAUAUUAUAUGAGGCAUCAUCGAUUUUUGCCACUGGGACAUAAGUGGAGAUUUCGAAAGAGCCAAUUUGAUGGUAUGAUACAAAAGAAAGCUACACCGAAAAGACCAUCUAGUGAGCAAGGGCAAGGGCUAAAUGAACUUGAAAGUUUAAGGCCAAUAAUAUUUGGUAAAAUAGGGAAAAAGCAAGUCAUUCGUGGGUUUGAAAAGCACAAGAAUUAGAAAAAACAUAGUAUUUUUUUUUUCAGUUACCAUACUGGAAACACUUUUGUUGUGUCAUAAUUUAGAUGUCAUGCACAUUGAAAAAAAACGUGUGCGAUGAUAUACUUGGCACACUUUAUAAUAUUGAUGGCAAAACAAAAGAUAACCUAAAUGCUCUCCUUGAUAUAGAAUCCUUGAAUAUAAAGCAUGAGCUUCACCCAAAAUAUGAUGAUGGAAAGCCUAUUUUGCCCAUUGCUUCUUGUAGUUUGACAAAUGAAAAGAGAUAAAGAUUGUGUGAGUGGCUUAUGAAUGUGCAAGUUCCAGAUGGAUACUCAGCUAAUUUGUUAAGAUGUCUGAAUAUACUCGUGCAUAAAAUUCUGUGCAUGAAGACUCAUGACCGUCAUGUGUUCUCAGAGAUAUUAUUGUCUCUUACAAUGCGAGAGGUUUUACCUAAAGAAAAUUGUGAUGCUUUGAUAGAAGUUAGCACAUUUUUUAGAGAAUCAUGUGCUAAGGUUUUGAAAAAAUAAGAUUUGGUUAGGCUUGAAAAACAAAUAAGCUUAACACUUUGCAAAUUAGAAAAAAUAUUCCCUAUUUUCCUUUUGCAAAUUAAAAAUGGUAACUUAUUAUGACCCUGUACAGUGCAUGCUGCAUUAUUUUUUUAUCAUGUAGGUUUUGUAACUAUUAUUAAUCUAACCGUUUCUGCCAUUUGUGUUUGUUUGAAAUAUUUUUGUUGAAUGUUUAAUUGGCUUCUAAUGAUGCUUUAUUCUUUAAAAUUCUUGUAAGAAUUUGAAGAUAAGGUUUGAUAGAAUGGUUAAAAAUGGAAAGUUUCGAACUAUAAACAAAAAGAAGUCUCUAGCUACUAACGAAGGGAAAAAGACAAAUGAAAAUUACAAGAUCAAAUGACAUAGUUGCUAGCAAAGGAAAGUCUCAAGCUGGCACACAUAACAGGGAUACUGAAUUAGCUCUAUAAUUGGUGGUGAAGCUUUAUGUUUUACUACAAUAGAUGAAGGUAUUAACUUAAUGUUUAAUGCACAAUUAAAUUUAAAUUAAUGGUUAAUUUGUAUCUUAUUUGAUUUUUUACCAGUUUCAAGUAGCAAAAAGAAAAAAAAUGGUUGAGGAAAGGCCAAAGCAGUUUCUGUAAUAUAUGCACUUUGAUUUUUCCUAAUUAAGUGUAUGAUUUAAUUUUUCCUCGUCGAUAUUAAUUUUAAAAUUGUCACAAUAUUAAAUCGAGAUAAAUUGAGCAUAAUUAAAAAACUCGGGUAGUCAGAUUUUAUUUUCGUCACAGGUCCGGUAUUAGCUUAAUUUGUAUUAAGCUUAAGUGCAAAAAAAAAAAAAAAAAAGCCAGUUUCUAUAAAUGGAAAGUAGGAAGCUGGUUUCCAAAAAAGGAAAGAGAGAGGGGCACGUGAGAGAGAGAGAGAAUUGAUCCGGUUUGACCCGCGAAUCCAACCCGACCCGCGACCUUGACCGGACGUAUUUCACGAUUCCGGCCACCUCACCGGCCGAGCUUGGUACCGAUCUGAAGCUUGGAAGUCGGCCGUCAUAACCCAGCCGUCCUCGUUGCCGGAAAACGACUGGAACGCCGCCGUUUGAAGCUCGAAAAUUCACGGCCAAAAACCGUCACCAUCGCCGUCGAUUUCGCCGGAGUUUGGGUACACCUCCAGCUGGGUUCUACUCCUCACGUUACAAGCAUCAAUUUCCGACCAACCUUGUCACCUGAAACGGCCGGAUUGUCGACGAUCGGGCACUUGGAAAGCUCGCGGCUUUGGGAGCACGAUCCGCCGCCAUCGCCGCACGUGGGAGCUCACCGCCGACACCGUUGGACUCACCGAGGUCUGAACUAUCAGACCUAAGCUUCCCGUCGUCGUUGACUGAAGUCCGGUGACCGUUGACCGGCAGGGGCAAUUCGGUAAAUUCAUAAUACUUUAGGGUGAAUUUGUAAUUUAUGGAAUCAGUGGAUAAUUUGGUAAUUUUAGGUUAGGGCAGUGAGGUAAUUUGAGAUUUUGAGGGUAAUUCGGUAAUUUAAGUCGUUAAGGACAUUUUGGUAAUUUUACGCUCCGAGGGUAAUUUCGUAAUUUCUGACAUUGUGGUAAUUUCGUGAUCUGAAUUGAGGACCAUUUAGUAAUUGAAGAUUCUGAGGAUAAUUUUGGUAAAAUAAUGAUGUUGGGGGCAUUUUGGUAAUUUUGGCAUGUAGGGGUAUUUCGGUAAUUUUGUGCAUGCGGGAAUAAUUUAUUGUUGAUAGAUAUUGUUUUCGAGAAUUAUUAUGUAAAAUUAGUUGUAUUUCAAAUUUAUAGAGAAUGAUUAUGUUGUUUCCUUGAUUAGGAGGAUCCGCGAACGACAAUCAACCCGCAGACGUUGUUGAUAUCGAGUCUGGACUUCGUCACUAUGAGGGGAAUAUACAAAACCUAUUUUCAUAGUAUAUGCUGAUUUUAUGAUACAUUGCAGUAUGUUUUGAUAAAUAAGUAUUCGAUGUUUCGAUUUAAUGAUUUUCUAGAAAAUUGAUUUUUAUAUAUGUGUUGAUAUUUAUUGUUAUUAAGAAUGAGUUUGAUUAAUGAUUUUGUUAUCGUUUUCAGUAAAUGCGUGAUAUUAGAAUUGAGUGGAUUUGAGAUAUGUUGAAUAAAAAGAAAAUGAGAUUUCAGAUGUGAUUAUAUGUUUAUGUACAUGUGUAUAAAAUGUUGUUUGGAAAAUCAUUGGAUAGUACCCUUGCCCUCCAGAUACAGAGAUACAGAUAAUAUGAGAUGAAUACAGAGAUACAGAUGCGAUGAGAUAGAGGUCUUUGGGGCCCGUCUGAAUACACAUAGAGGCUUUGGGCCGUGUGUUUGGGUGCUUUUACCUUUUGGGGGCUUAUGCAUACAGUAUGAUGAUUACAGAGAUACAGAUGUUAAGAUACAUGAGAUAUGAGAUGAGAUUUCCCCAUCUAUCCAUUGUAGCUCCGGGGCAUGAUGGUUUCCUGAUUGCCCGUCCGUCGAGGUCUGGAUAUGAUGAGAUCAUUCCCCUGGGUACUAGUUUGAUGAUAGUUUUUGGUAUUCAGUAUUUGAUAUUAUAAGUAUUAUGAUUUCAUUGAUUUUAUGCAGAUUUAUGUAAUAUAGUUAUUUCAGUGACUAAUUUGAAUUGAAUAUGUUUAUAUAAGUUCUUAUAAUAUUUUGAUGAAAUUGAUUUGAGAAAGAUUAAAUCAUUUUAAAUAAAUUUAUUUUUCAAAAAUUACUAUCCAUUCACUGAGCUUACUGAGUUUUAUACUCAUCGUAUUUUUAUUAUAUUUUCCCUCCACAGGAGAUUUGCAGGUACAUCAGUCGACCCAGCAAUGAUAGUUAGAUUUGAAAUUGUGGCCACGUGAUGGUGUUAGGAGUCGUAGAUUUAAUAUUUUGAUAAUUGGGAUAUUGCGAAUUGUAUUUAUUUGUUAUAUUUUGUAAUUAAGGAUAACCAUUAUAUUUUACUAUUAGAAUGAUUUGGGUGGUAUUUGGUAUGUUGACUUGAGAAGUUGGUUAUGAAGGAUUGAUGUAUAUUGAAUUAUUUUGGGAGUAUUGUUUUGUAAAUUGCAGGCUUGGGGAUGUUUUAUUUAUAAGGGAGAUUCUGUCGAAUUUUUGAUAGAAUUCUUAGAUAUCAUAAUUAUUAUCGAUUUGAUUAUACGAGUUUAGAUAGACUCGCCCUGGGGGUGCGGGACGGGUCGUUUCAGUUGUUCAAGGACAUGUUAUGACUUUAGAGAUAUAUGAUGGUAGGUAAAAUGGUUGACAAAUGGAUGGAUGAGGGGUGGAAAGUACUAAUAAUGACUAUUAGCAUAAUACUUUUAUGUCAUUUUCUUUCUUAAGCUUCGCUAUUCUUUUAAUUUAUCAGUGAAUUAUAGUUGCUAGAAUCAUUAUAGGAAUAAGAAACUUAUAAAUAUUGUCUAUGUACUUUAUACAUGAGUUGUUCUUGAUGGGUGUUGUCCACAUUUUAUUGUACUCGUAAGGGCACGAAUCUAUUGUAAAUAGAUUUUGUGUUCGGUCCCACGAGAAUGUAGAUUUAAUUAUGCAUAGGGUUAAUUUUCUAGGUGUAUAUGUGAGUUGGUUGGGAGUGAAUUUUUUUAUCUUAAGAUUUAAAAUAAAAUGGCAGGAAUGAAUUAAAGAUGAAAAUAAUGCAAAUGAAAAGCUUGAGUCUCUAAAUUCAUACUUAACAUUUCACCAUAGGCUUAAUAUUUAUGUUUUUAGUUCCAAUUAAUUCAUGAAGGGUGUAUUCCAAUUCCUCAUAAUUCUCACUCUAAUAAAUAUGACAUCAAGCGCUUAGUGUGCAAGGGGUAAUGAUCUUCCACUAAGUGUGGUGUCAAAAACACGCUGUGCCAGAUGAUAAUAAUCAACAACAUGGCAAGAUCAUCCACUAAAUAGUUUAGAUACACUCUCUGUCAAUACUGAGUCAAGACGACCCAUAAAAUACUAUAGGAAAAUUUUCUCUCUAAUUAAUAUGAUGUUAAGUGCUCAUUGUGCCAGACAGUAACGAUCCUUCACUAGGGAGCAGGUAUACUGUGCAAAAUCUAGACAGGAUGCACUGUCUGUCGACAAUGAGUCAAAACAACCACAUAAAUCAGAGAGAAAAAGAAAAUAAACUUACCUAAGCCCAUGGAUCAUGUUUAGCCUUCACCUUCAACCCAAGCUUGAAAUAAACUAGCCACUUAUAAUUGAACAAGGAGUAAAAUGAUAAUUUUAUUAAAAUAUGUAGAAAAUACAAGAUGGAGAGAGAAUUAUAGAAAAUGGAGCUCGAAAAUGGAUUCAAGGGUGUCAAAAUAGGCAGAUGAACCCUCUUUUUAUAAAUACAUAGGUAAAUCAUGGCCAUCAGAUGAAAAUAAUUCAUACGCUCAGGAUUGCGCCAUAUAGCAAGCUUUGAUUGGUUGGUACACAUUAUUAGUCAACACCACAUCAACAUUUCGGUCCCAUAAGAUGCUGCCACAUCAUCAGUCAAUACCACAUCAGUAUUUUGGUCCAAUAACAUCCUGCCACAUCAUUGGUCAAUGCCACAUCAUCGGUCAAUGCCACAUCAUCAUAUCGUAUAUGUGAAACAUUGUUGUACUUGUGAAUAUUACCUAAUAUGUGAACAGUGCCGUAUGCCGAAUAUCUAUUUAUGCUCCUCCUAAGGUUUUCAACCAUUAUGAGUUCAAAAAUGCCAUCAGUUUUGCUGUCUGACUUUUCGUUAGUCAUAAAAUGGCCAAAAUAUCUCUGAAAUAUAUAAAAUACUUAAAUUAUAAUAAAACACACAUAAUAAAAGCUUAGAGGAUUUAAACAUGUAAAAGUGAAAAUGUUAGUGAGACUUGGAGCAUAAAAUGAUAAUUUUACCCUCUAUAAAUAUGAAUUCUCUAGUACUCAACAAUGGGUUCAUAAUAACCAAGUUGAUUUUAUGCUUUUUUUAAAAUUAUAUAUAAAAAACAAGCACAACGAGCAAGAGGAAUUGAACCAAGUCCAAACUUAUUCAUACUACAAGUUCGUCCCAAUGGCCAAGCAUAGAACAGAAAUGGGAAGAGAACAUGUUUGACUUUGAUCAUAAAAGAAGUGUGUUUAUUUAUUAUGAUCUUAUUGAAUUUCAAUUCUUUAUUGCAGUAACAAAUAGGUACUUAACUUAGUCCACUUGAUUUAUUCAAGAUGUUUCAUGUAAGGGGACAUGGGCAAGCAACAAGGCAAAGGAAAUGCAUGUGUGUUUUUGAUAUUAAAUUUUCAUAAUAUUCCUGAUUUAUUUGCAUGAUUUCAUUACUAUAUGCACUAACACAAAUGUUUGUAUUUAUUAUAGGAAACAAUGGAAUCAAUGAGAUCCACUGUUAUAGAUCAAGGCUUGCUAGUGGAUGAAUGGAAAAUAUCUCGAGAAGUGACAAAAGAAGCAGCACAUGGUCGUGUUGUUGGUUAGGGAGCAGGCAUCAAAGGCAAGGAUAUGUAUGGUUCUCCAAGUUAAGGAGGUAACAAGCAUCAAUGUAGUAAUUUGAAAGUAAAAGUAAAAGACUUAGAGAAAGAAAUCAAGAAGUUGAAAAGAAUGAUAAAACUUGUUCUUGGAAAGUCUGCACAAGAAUCAUCUCAGAAGGUAAAAGUUGUUUAUUUCAUUUUAUUAAUAGAUUAAGUGAAUGAAGUGUUCUAUAUUUUGAGUUCUCAUGAAAAAUGAUUGGUGACUUGUCAUUGCUCUAUUAGUUGAUGAACUUAAGUAAUUAUGGACAAGCUUCUAAUAUAGGUGAAUGAUGGAAUAAUUAUUAGAUUUUUUAAAAUGGAGACUAUGCAUCGAUAAAAAGUUGUUUUUAUUGCACUAUUUUUCUCAUUAGUCUCGGCUUCUUGAUUAUAUUUUAUACAAGUUCUUGUUUUGGUAAUAAUAAUGCUUAAAAUUCCUUUUUUCACAUAGGACAUUGUUUUGACGGGAGAAUAUGAUGAUGGGUAUGAGGAUGUUGAAGUUGAGCAAAUGAUUCAGAAACUGAAGUUAUUUAGAGGAUGAUUGAACAUAUUUAAGAUAUGGUGAUAUCAUUUUGUAUAUACUUUGGUAUAUUUUUUUCUUUAAAAGAUACUAUAAAAUUGAUAUUUUUGUUGCAUUUUUGAAUGAUGAAUGUGAUUUUAUGAAUUUUUGAAAUUAAUGAAGUUACAUUUAGUAUAUUUCGUAUAUUAUUAUUAUGUUUGUUACAUUACUUGCCUAAUAUAGAUAUUUCAACAAUAAAAAUAAAAAAAUUAAUGAAAUAAGUCUAUUUCCGACAGUGUAUCUUUUAUUUCUAAGGGCAUGUUGCAGUUGAAUAUAAAAAUAACUAGGUUUAUUUUAUCUUAUUUCGGAGGGCAUUUAAUUCCAUUUCCAACGGCAACAUCCUUGGAAAUAUUUUUUUUCUCCGACGACUCAUCAGAAACUCAACAUUUCCGAUAAGACUUAAUACGACAACGAUCGACGGCAUGUCCCGCUUGAAAAUGAGUUUUUCCGAGAGUCUUUUUAUAUUUCCAAGGGUACUUGCCCUCGAAAAUGUCCCAUUUUUUGAUAGUGUACGGCUAGCUAGUCAAUGUCUAGGUUUAGAAUGAUUCCCAUUAUUUCUGCAAAAUAUGUCUUCCAUAUAACAAUCAAGUUUCUUAAUAUAGAAAUUAAAACAACACCAACAUAGUACCAAACAAAAAAAAAAUCAUAUGCUUCAAAGACAAUAAAAUACACAAAUGAUACGAAGCGAAGCAAGGUAAAUGAUAAUAUGUCCAAUGAAAUUUCUUUAUGAUGGAGUUUUUUUUGUUUUUCCUUUCCCAAGUUGAGGUCAUGGACAUCAGGAUAUCAUUGUCAAAUGAAAUUUAAGCUUUUUUUUGGGGGGGGGGGGGGGGGGGGGUGGAGAACGUGGCUCUUUUCUUUUCUUUUCGUUUUCUCAUGGCAAUUAAUUAGUUUGCUCAUGUGGAAUUACGCAUGAUUGGCGUUGAAAUUGAAUAUAAAAAUAACUAGGUUUAUCUUAUCUUAUUUCGGAGGGCAUUUAAUUCCAUAUCCGACGACAACAUCCUCGGAAAUAUUUGUUUUUUCUCCAACGACUCAUCAAAAACUCAACAUUUCCGAUAAGACUUAAUACGACGACGAUCGACGGCAUGUCCUGCUUGAAAAUGAGUUUUUCCGAGAGUCUUUGUUUAUUUCCAAGGGUACUUGCCUCGGAAAUGUUCCAUUUUCUUGUAGUGUACGGCUAGCUAGUCAAUGUCUAGGUUUAGAAUGAAUCCCAUUAUUUCUACAAAAUAUGUCUUCCAUAUAACAAUCACGUUUCUUAAUAUAGAAAUUAAAACAACACCAACGUAGUACCAAACAAAAAAAAUCAUAUGCUUCAAAGACAAUAAAAUACACAAAUGAUACGAAGCGAAGCAAGAUAAAUGAUAAUAUGUCAAAUGAAAUUUCUAUACGAUGGAGUUUUUUUUUUGUUUUUCCUUUCCCAAGUUGAGGUCAUGGAUAUCAGGAUAUCAUUGUCAAAUGAAAUUUAUGCUUUUUUUGGGGGGGGGGGGGGGAGAACGUGGCUGUUAUUGUCAAAUUAAAUUUUAUGCACCUUUCUUUUCUUUUCCUUUUCUCAUGGCAAUUAACUAGUUUGCUCAUGUGGAAUUACACAUCAUUGGCGUUGAAAUUGACUUUUAGAUACCUCCUUCCAACUUUUUUCAUUUCAAUUAUUGAUAUAUUUUUUCAGCUUUCUUUUGAAACUUUCUGAAAUCUGAAUGUAUUGGGAAAAACAUUUAAUCAAUCUGAAAGCUCAUAUUAUUUCGGUUUCGGAUUGCUCGGAAUAAAUCAUAGUGCAUAUAUUCAGGUCGCUUGAAAUUUAGGGUGAAAAUGAAAUUUAUUUGAAAUUUCAUCAGAUAUCCUUAUCAAAAUAUUUUGUUACACCAACUCUUCAGUUAAAUUUUACAAUAUUAUAUAUUUAAAUGCCCACAAUACAAUUUAUCAUUAAAGAGAAGAUAAUACACACUAAAAUAUUAUGUGAUAUGCAUGGUAUGUAACAUGUUUUUCAUGAAGUGAUUCACAAUUUUUCAUAAAUAUUACGUUAGUUAAUUAAACUAUACCAUCAUUCACUUAAUGAAUAUCGUAUCAUUUGAGAUAAAAUUUCAAGAUGCCUAACACUACUCUUUGUAUAAUCACACUGCACUUUUAAUAGGGUGAAUUCCAAUAAAGUCUUUGUUAUCCUUCAAAUUUACAAAUGAGCUAGCAGUUAACAUAAUCAAUCAAUUACAUCUUUCUUUAAGUGUUUUUUUCUUUCCCCCAUCUCUAGAUCCAUUGACCACCUUGGAUACUAGCUUGCAUUAAUAGAAAAUUAAUUCAACUUUUUGAACCUUGUAAUAUAAAAGGACCAAAUUGACGGUAUGGAGGAUUUCCCAGCAUCGCUACCUUGAGAGUUCUCAGGUCUGGUCCAAGUCCACGUGCCAAUUGCCACUGUUUAUCAACGUCUUCCACUGGUUUCUUGAUGGCAGCCAAAUAAUCACAAAUAGAUUUGAAUUUCUUUUGUAUACUGAUCUACAAUCAAGCAAGCCAACUUUCUUAAGAGGUUCACUAGUGGCAAACUUUUUUUCAUUGAAACAUAAUAACCAUGCAUGUCUGUGAUUCUCAAGAUUGGCUGUGGUACCAUAAAAAAAAGUUUCAUUGACGAAUUGUUGGAUACAUAUACAAUAUGGGGCAUAGAGUUUUGCUCAAGAUUCUUGGCUUCCACCUAGUUAAAUUAAAAGAAACGGAUAGAGGACUAACAGCUAGUGAUUAAUUCAAGGCUUUCAUUAUUCUUGCUUGUUAUGUAAGGUUGAUUGUGCUAUUUGAUCCUCAGUUUUAAUUAGCCUCACUUGAUUGAGUUGACUUGGAUAUUAUACUGCAUAUUAAUUGAAGAUUUUCUUAAUAACAUAGUGGAAAUGUGAUCAAGAUAGAUAAAACCCUCGCAUAAAAUAAGGAUUUUAAUGAUAAAAAAUUAUUAAACCCGUGACAUAAUCUUUCUAAUAGUAAACUGGAAAAGUGAAUCCAUGCACCCCCAAAUAAAAGUCCAAUUAUAAAUUCUGCUUGAAAAAAUUAAAAUACUAAAUAAAAUAAGUAAACUUCAAUUUUGUCUUACAUCAAACAAUCUUAGAUGAUGAUGUUUCUGAUUGGCUUAGAAGAAUCGUGGGGAUGUUAUACUUUUGAAAUAUUAACUUUUAAUAGUAAUAUUACUCAUCAAUUUGAAUAGGUUAUUUUUACUUUUUUAAUUUUUUACUAAUUAUUAUUAUUUUUUACUUACAUUGCAAAUAUAAAUUUUGAAUCAUUUAUCAUUAAUGUACAACCUAAUUGAAAAUAUCCAAAGUAACAAUAUAAAUUAUUUUGCAGUUGUUUUGAGAACACAAUAACUUAAGAAAUAUCGUAAUUUUAUUAGUAAAGAUAAAACAUAAGAGCAGAUGCUGGAAACAAUAACAAAAUGCAAUAUAACAUAGUACACACAAAUCCUUUAUUCUUAAUAUAUUAAAGGGUGGUCUAGGAUAUUUAAGUUUCCAUCCCAAAAGACUAUAGCAUUUUAAUUGAGUGACUCAUCCUAUAUUUAAACCCGUGUGUCACCUCAUUUUCUAGUCAUUUCGAGACAUUUCAACUACUACGUACACUUAAAUCUUGAACGAUAUUUUGCUAUUCCAUCAAGCAGUACAAGAGACUUGCGGGAAUACGGUUGCUCAAUUCUUUAUGGAUAGACUUCAAUGAGGGACCUCAUGCCAAAUAUAGGUGUUAUUUUGUAGUGACUGAAACCAGCAUCGAAGAAUAGCUUUGCCCAUUCACUUUCAGUUCUCUCUUUCCCAGUAGAGUUAACGCUCAGCACAAUGUCAAGCAAGAACUUUGUUUCGGUUAAUUCGUGUUCGUCUUCCUCUGCAUUGAUAACGAUAUCUAUUAUUAUUACCUUUCCUCUCUCACCAUUGCUUGCAAUUGCUUCUCUGCGUUUCUUCAGUAUCUUCAACCCAUCCUCAUCACCUAAUCCAUGAAAAACCAACUGCAAGCAUGCCAAUCACUCAUUUAAUCAAUACCCACCACUUAUAGUGCAGUUCCGUUGUUUGAUCUAACAUUUUAGAUAAAAUAUAGGAUACUUUUUCUUUUUAAUAAAAUCCCAACAGUUCGUGCGUGUGUCUAUCUAUCCAUCUAUCUAUAUACAUACACAAAUCACACUUUUUAGAAUGGAGAUUCGUUGUUUUAAAUAUUGUAAAAUAAUUUUAUAGUGUUGUAGAUAAAACGUUUUAUUACUCCGCCUAUAAACACACACACAUAUAUACAUAUACAUAUAAGUUAUGAAAAAAUAAGUUUCAAUGUUAUACAAGCCUUUACCAAUAUGGUAAACUUCGAAUCUACACUUGAAAAAAUGCGGGCAACCGCACUAUAAAAUGACUACGUAAAUGGUCAUGCUCAAGCCUAAACUUCUAGAUUCUGUAAAAUCCAAAUGUUAAUUAAAUUUAGAGUUGUAUAGCAUUUUGCAGUUACUUUAAAUCUGAUUUGAAUCAUUCAAAUCCUGAUUUUGUAAGAUCGAACGUCCGGAUAUAUGUGCUGCGCACAGAACAAUUGAAAUAAAUCAUCUGGUAUUCACGAAAACGGUUAAGAAGUUGUUUUAAAUUUUUAAAAUUGGAUCUUACCUUGAAGAGAAAGGUAUCUGCCGGAGGGAUAAACUGAAACAUGUCACCUGCUAUGUAUUUAAAGUUGUCGGCCUCAGGCAAGUUAGCAACAACAUGCGGGAGGUCGAGUACAGUGCAUUUGAUGCCAGGGAAUGCUUCAGAGAUGAUUCUGGAUAACGAUCCGUUGCCACCUCCUACGUCAACCAAUGUGCCCAACCCUUCAAAGAUUUGCUUACACUCGGCUUUGACAACAAAGCUUGUCAUUAUUUCAGUGUCACUGGCCAUUGCUUCAUUGAACCGCUGGUUUAUUCCAGGGUUUUGAUUCAUAAAUUCCCAGAACUUGAUUCCAUGAACAGUUUCCCACAACGUGCUCAGUCCCUUUGAACCAACUACUUAAAGACUGAAAUGGAGCGACAAAAAGUGGGUCAACAAAUGCUGAAACAGUUGGUGACAUGCUGUAGGGCUUGUCUUUGAUGAGCAGAGUAGAAGCAGCUGUGAGCCCGUAUACUUCUUCUUGUCCAUUGACUUUGGUUUUGUUAAAGCAGCCUGAGUGCACUAACAAGCGCAUGAGCCUGAAUAGGCUAGUCGUUUUUGUAGGCUGAAUAUCAAGUGCCGAGACCAACUCAGAAAGAGUGAUGGCCCGUCCGUGGCUGUGAAUUAUA
RNAcentral lists this long non-coding RNA (61192 nucleotides) under Citrus maxima (pomelo). RNAcentral's name for it is "long non-coding RNA (CMAX_LNC003807)". The record is from RNAcentral. Lineage: Eukaryota; Viridiplantae; Streptophyta; Magnoliopsida; Sapindales; Rutaceae.